GGGUUUUGAUUAGAUAAAGUUUAGCCAUCUUUGCUACUUUCGUGUAAUCGCGUGUGUCGGUUAGACCACCUGUUUUACCGUCGUCAAGACUCCAACUUAUCGUCUCAUUGAGACAUUGGUUUGAUAUAGUAUACUCGCAAUUUUAGAUUGCAUCCGCUAUUUAUCUUGUUCUUGCUUGUUCUUCGAUUGCUUGCAGGAACAAAGACCUUCGUGGUCAGGUUGAUCGUGCCCCCGCGUGAUCAAUAACCCUCUGGAGUUGGUGUAUCGAUUGCUAAGGCGCUGCCUCCUAGGCCGUAGUCGGAUCGUCAACGUCACCUCCUACCCAAAUCGAGAGUUAGCAAUCUCAUCGAAAGAUCGGGCCACCCGCACCCGUAUCACGUGGUAUCAGAGCUUAAGGUUGCUCGGUGAGAUUUUUUCAGUUUAUCCGUAGUUUAGAUCUGUUUUUACCUAUCGUCCAGAAAAAGCCAAACAAAAAUUAGAAUUAGUUACCUUGUCCUAGAACCAAUUUGAGCCUUGCAAUUUUCUCUUUAGUAUUUGCAUUGUUGAAUCUUUGGUGCAUUAAUCGUGUCGAGUUGCUGGAUUAGAUUGGAUCGUUUUUCAGAUUUUUUCUACUAGAUCGAACUUGCUUUUGGUUUUCUUGUUCUUCGUGUGACGCAGGUUUCCUUUAUCAAUCUUCCGCCGCCAAACUUCCUGCCACACCACCGCCAUAAUCUCCCGCCGCCACCAUAUCUUCCACCGAGUCUCUCUUCGAGUCCUACACCGAGUCCCUCUUUGAGUCCUACACCGAGUCCCUCAUCGAGUCCUACACCGAGUCCCUCAUCGAGUCCUACACCGAGUCCCUCUUCGAGUCCUACACCGAGUCCCUCGUCGAGUCCUACACCGUGUCCUACAUCGAGUUCUACAUUGAGUCGGCAAGUUAUAGUUUUCAACCGCAAGUUCGAGUCCGAGUCCAAUCAAGAGUGCUUUUGGAAAGUUUUCAUAAUAAAUCGAAUUUUAUUUAGAGAUCAAGUUGUUCGGAAAGUUGUCAAAAAAAAUGAAAGGAAAGAAAAAAAAAAGGAAAGAAAGAAAAAAAAAACGAAAAAAAAAGAGAAAGAGUUCGAGUCAAUUUCGGACCCGAGUCCGAGUAGAAUUUUACUUUCGGGUGGGUUUGACCCGUGUUCAGUAAAACGGGCGUAUCUUUUGUGUACCAACUCGGAUUUGGACGUUCUUGGACACGUUUCGCUUCGAUGAGUAGGUUUGUUUGGUGUGCUCCUAGUACCUCAAAUGGACACGUUCCGGAUCAAAGUUUAGCACCGACUCUGAUUUGGCCGGCUUGUCCGUCCUAGCGAGGGACCAUGCCUAGCGAGUCCGUACAACUGGUCUACUCUUGUUUCGCUUCGAUGAGUAGGUUUGUUUGGUGAGCUCAUCCUAGUACCUCAAAUGGACAUGUUCCGGAUCAAAUUUUAGCACCGACUCGGAUUUGGCCGGAUUGUCCGUCCUAGUGAGGGACCAUGCCUAGCGAGUCCGUACAAGUGGUCUAGUCUUGUUUCGCUUCGAUGAGUAGGUUUCUUUGGUGUGCUCAUCCUAGUACCUCAAAUGGACACGUUCCGGAUCAAAUUUUAGCACCGACUCGGAUUUGGCCGGAUUGUCCGUCCUAGUGAGGGACCAUGCCUAGCGAGUCCGUACAAGUGGUCUAGUCUUGUUUCGCUUCGAUGAGUAGGUUUGUUUGGUGUGCUCAUCCUAGUACCUCAAAUGGACACAUUCCGGAACAAAGUUUAGCACCGACUCCGAUUUUGCCGGAUUGUCCGUCAUAGGGAGGGACCAUGCCUAGCGAGUCCGUACAAGUGGUCUAGUCUUGUUUCGCUUCGAUAAGUAGGUUUGUAUGGUGUGCUCAUCCUAGUACCUCAAAUGGACACGUUCCGGAUAAAAGUUUAGCACCGACUCCGAUUCACCCGGAUUGUCCGUCCUAGUGAGGGACCAUGCCUAGCGAGUCCGUACAAGUGGUCUAGUCUUGUUUCGCUUCGAUCAAUUGGUUUGUUAGGUGUGCUCAUCAUAGUACCUCAAAUAGACACGUUCCGGAACAAAGUUUAGCACCGACUCCGAUUUUGCCGGAUUGUCCGUCCUAGUGAGGGACCAUGCCUAGCGAGUCCGUACAAGUGGUCUAGUCUUGUUCCGCUUCAAUAAGUAGGUUUGUUUGGUGUGCUCAUCCUAAUACCUCAAAUGGACACGUUCAGGAUCAAAGUUUAGCACCGACUCCGAUUUGGCCGGAUUGUCCGUCGUUGUGAGGGACCAUGCCUAGCGGGUCCGUAUAAGUGGUCUAGUCUUGUUUCGCUUCAAUAAGUAGGUUUGUUUGGUGUGCUCAUCCUAGUAGCUCAAAUGGACACGUUCCGGAUCAAUGUUUAGCACCGACUCUGAUUUGGCCGGAUUGUCCGUCCUAGCGAGGGACCAUGCCUAGCGAGUCCGUACAAGUGGUCUAGUCUGUUUCGCUUCGAUGAGUAGGUUUGUUUGGUGUGCUCAUCCUAGUGCCUCAAAUGGACACGUUCUGGAUCAAAGUUUAGAACAGAUUCGGAUUUGGCCGAAUUGUCCGUCCUAGCAAGGGGCCAUGCCUAGCGAUUCCGUACAAGUGUUCUACUCUUGUUUCAAUUCGAUGAGUAGCUUUGUUUGGUGUGCUCAUCCUAGUAUCUCAAAUGCACACGUUCCAUAUCGAAGUUUAGCACCGACUCCGAUUUAACCGGAUUGUCCGUCCUAGUCAGGGACCAUGCCUAGCGAGUCCGUACAAGUGGUCUAGUCUUGUUUCGCUUUGAUGAGUAGGUUUGUUUGGUGUGCUCAGCCGAGUACCUCAAAUGGACACGUUCCGGAUCAAAGUUUAGCACCGACUCUGAUUUACCCGGAUUGUCCGUCCUAGGGAGGGACCAUGCCUAUCGAGUCCGUACAAGUGGUCUAGUCUUGUUUCGCUUCGAUGAAUAGGUUUGUUUGGUGUGCUCAUCCUAGUACCUCAAAUGGACACGUUCCGGAACAAAGUUUAGCACCGAGUCCGAUUGAUAGCCUCAAGGGUGUCCCGAUCUUUCGAUGAGAUACCUAAUUAUCGAUUUGGUAGGAGGUGACGUUCACGAUCCGACUACAACCUAGGAGGCAGCGCCUUAGCGAUCGAUACACCAACUCCAGAAGGUUAUUGAUCCCGCGGGGGCACGAUCAACCUGACCACAAAGGUCUUUGUUCCUGCAAGCAAUCGAAGAACAAGCAAGAACAAGAUGAAAAGCAAUCUGAAAUUGCGAAUAGGAGAUAUGAAGGUUCACGAAUCUGAAUACUCAAUAUAGUUGGAGUCUUGAUGACGGUAAAACAGGUGGUCUAACCGACACACGCGAUUACACGAAAGUAGGUGGAAGCAACGGACGCUGCUGAACUUUGUGCAGAGGCAGCGGGUGUAUUUCUUGUUGCUGCUGGUCCAACCUUUGCGGAUGUAGGUGUAGAGGUACUUUGCUUGUUGGUGGAAGUAGUCGGAACAGCCGGACGUGUAGGGGGUGCAGCUGGGCGUGUGGAAGGGGCAGCGGGGCUGCGUGCUGCCCAUGAGGAAGUACGACCUGCAGAAAAGUUAGUCCGCGCGUUCGCGUGUCGUCCCUGCACUUCCCUUUCAGCUUUGCAAGCAAUGUGAAAUAAUCGAUUGAUAGAAUUAUACUCCUUAUAAUCAACAAUGUCAGCAAUUUCACGAUUUAAACCACCAAAGAAUCUAGCCAUAGCAGCUUCCUCAUUCUCAACUAAACCACAACGUAACAUCUUCUUUUGCAUUUCUUGAUAAUAAUCUUGGACAGAAUUACUACCUUGCCUUAAUUGUUGUAGUUUCUUUAACAAGUCACGCGAAUAGUAUGAAGGAACAUAUCUAGCACGCAUAAUUCUUUUCAAAUCAUCCCAUGUUGGUGGUAUAGCGUUAGGAUGUGCAAUACAAUACUCAUGCCACCAAACAGAAGCAAAAUCAGUAAACUCACUAGUAGCAGCCCUAACCCUCUUAUUAGCAGGAAAAUCAUGGCAAGUAAAUUUUUGACUCAAUUCUAAUUCCCAUGUAAGGUAAGCAUCAGGGUCAUAUUUUCCAUCAAAAGGAGGAACCUUAAAUUUAAUAGAAUGCAGCAAGUCAUGUUCCUCUCUGUGAGGUCGUGUCAGUCCCAUACCUCGGCGGUUGAAACGAGUUCGGCGAUGAUCACGGUAGUUGUGAUGGUUUACGGUCCCGUCGUGUUCCGUAUCCGCGGAGUAGUCGUCGUCGUUCUCCUCAACCUCGCUUGCGAAGGUACCGUUAUUAGCGGUCCGCUGGUUGUGAGUAUUGUUUCCUCCCGAUGUAGCGAUGGUCGUUGCAGCAAUUGCCGCCAGUUGCGUCGUGAUUUCUGCCAGAGAAGUACUAAUGGUAGCAACAGAAUUCUGUAAAGAUGUUAGCUUGGUAUUUGUUUCAAUGUGCGCGCUCUCCAAGGUUCCAAGUCUCUCAUUCGCAACCCGAACGUCCUCAUCCAGCUCCUCGUUACGGAGCCUAAGCUUGCGAUCAAAAUGUGAAAUAAUGCCCUUUGUGCGUGGAGAGUGGCCUUGUAAAUCAUCGUCAGAACCUACCAUCGUUAGGAGAAAACAAGAAACAAAUCACAAGAAAAAGUCCCUAUGCACUACUAGGAUGUGGGGUUCCAAAGAUCACUCCACUCAACUUUUAAUCAAGUUCUUACUCGUUCUUACCCAGCAAACAGGAAGGUGAUGGCCAGCGGCGAGAACAAGCCCUCCGAAGAUUAGUGUAUUGAUGCCUCGAGGCAAACCAACCUAGGUGUACAAUCUGUGGAGCUUGGAGGCUUAUGUGAGUAGCAAGGAAAAGCGAAUAAUCAAAUCAGCAAUGCAAAGUUGAAAAUAUGCUCAAAAAUGCUAGUCCUAGUUGCUGGAGUCGACAAGAACGAAUUACAGAAAUUAACUAAGCCUAGAUACUGAAAAAGGUAGAAAGGAAAGAUCAAAUGAAAGGUAAAACAAGUAAAUCUCUGGGGAAUAUUUUUUUUCUCUUUUUUUUUUCUUUUUUUUGGCCUUCUGUUUGGCUUCUUAUUCUUUUCUUUUUUUUUCUUUUUUUUUUAUCCCCAGAAACUCACGCAAAAGAAGUUAAGACCGGAAAGCUGCACGUCGGUCUGUAGGAGAAUAGCAAAGGCUGUAGUAAGGAAAACUCAGAAAAAUAUGAGAAAAUAUGGGUUAGAAGCGUAUCAAAACAAGCUUUCCAACAAGUGCAAUAUCACUCGAAACGGAGGUCGGACGGUGGAGAAAACUGAGAUAUACUGCGCUGCCCCGGUGCCGUAAAACGGGUGCAGAAACUUUGGAACUCGAAAAGUCCACCUUAAAGGCCGAAUUUUAGGGUCAAAGUGCAGGGCAACGCCCUGGAUAUUUCCUGAUGCGCUUCGUCAUGAGCUUUCCAAAAAGUCCAAGAACGUCCAAAUCUGAGUUGGUAGGCAAAAGAUAUGUCCGUUUUACUGAACACGGCUCAAACCCACCCGAAACUAAAAUUCUAUUCGGACUCGGGUCCGAAACUGACUCGAACUCUUUCUCUUUUUUUUCGUUUUUUUUUCUUUCUUUCUUCCUUUUUUUUUUCUUUCCCUUCUUUUUUUUCACAACUUUCCGAACAACUUGAUCUCUAAACAAAAUUCGAUCUAUUAUGAAACACUUUCCAAAAGCACUCUUGAUUGGACUCGGACUCGAACUCGCGGCUGAAAACUAUAACUUCCCGACUCGAUGUAGGACUGGAAGAAGGACUCGCUGUAGGACUGGAAGAAGGACUCGGUGUAGGACUUGAAGAGGGACUCGGUGUAGGACUCGAAGAGGGACUCGGUGGAAGAUAUGGUGGCGGUGGAAGAUUAUGGCGGUGGUGUGGCAGGAAGUUUGGCGGCGGAAUAUUGAUGAAGGAAACCUGCGUCACACGAAGAACAAGAAAACCAAAAGCAAGUUCGACCUAGUAGAAAAAAAUCUGAAAAACGAUCCAAUCUAAUCUAGCAACUCGACACGAUUAAUGCAGCAAAGAUUCAACAAUGCAAAUACUAAUGUGAAAAUUGCAAGGCUCAGAUUGGUUCUAGGACAAGGGAACUAAUUCUAAUUUUUGUUUGGCUUUUUCUGGACGAUAGGUAAAAACAGAUCUAAACUACGGAUAAACUGGAAAAAUCUCACCGAGCAACCUUAAGCUCUGAUACCACGUGAUAGCCUCAAGCGUGUCCCGAUCUUUUGAUGAGAUACCUAAUUAACGAUUUGGUAGGAGGUGACGUUCACGAUCCGACUACAACCUAGGAGGCAGCGCCUUAGCGAUCGAUACACCAACUCCAGAAGGUUAUUGAUCCCGCGGGGGCACGAUCAACCUGACCACGAAGGUCUUUGUUCCUGCAAGCAAUCGAAGAACAAGCAAGAACAAGAUGAAAAGCAAUAUGAAAUUGCGAAUAGGAGAUAUGAAGGUUCACGAAUCUGAAUACUCAAUAUAGUUGGAGUCUUGAUGACGGUAAAACAGGUGGUCUAACCGACACACGCGAUUACACGAAAGUAGGAAAGGCUAAACUUUAUCUAAUCAAAACCCAAGGCUCCAUGGGGGGGCUCAUGGGGUAUAAAUAGGAGGGGAACUAGGUGGUUUUCGGACAGGCCCUUGAGGGACUCCGAAACGGCCUAGGAAUCCUCUUAAAACACAACGAAAACAUCUAAAAAUUGGCUGGACCCUAUUAUAUGGCCUUAGGCCCAAUAAAGCAAGGUUAUAACUCUCAUCUUUGGCCCAUAGAUACCCAUUGGAGGGAGAAUCCUCCACUUGGCCGAAAUCCCAUUGAUGAAGAGGAUGCGGCCUUCUUCUCAUCUCUCGUUAUGGCGGUUUCAAUGUUCUGAAAUCAUCACUUGAGCUAGCUCCCGCCACCUUGCUGCCACCUCCAUGGUUUGCUGUCCAACGCUGAUCCUUGAGGUGCAAGCUAGGUCCUUCAUUCCUAAAACACAUAAAAGAACCCAUCUUAGGCAGCAGCAUAUUCUCAUUAAUAUUAAAUGAAGUACCGAGGAACGAAAGUACCUGAUAAUUUAGUUGUCGUGCACGAGCUCUAGUAAUUGGUCCGUGUAUCUCCGGUACUUGAGGUGUAUGUGCUGUAGGGGCUGUGGUUGUAUCAUUAGUUGGGAUGUCCUCAUCACCGAUUUACCCUGAUUGUCCGUCCUAGCGAGGGACCAUGCCUAGCGAGUCCGUACAACUGGUCUACUCUUGUUUCGCUUCGAUGAGUAGGUUUGUUUGGUGUGCUCAUCCUAGUACCUCAAAUGGACACGUUCCGGAUCAAAGUAUAGCACCGACUCUGAUUUGGCCGGCUUGCCCGUCCUAGCGAGGGACCAUGCCUAGCGAGUCCGUACAACUGGUCUACUCUUGUUUCGCUUCUAUCAAUUGGUUUGUUAGGUGUGCUCAUCCUCGUAGCUCAAAUUGACACGUUCCGGAUCAAAGUUUAGCACCGACUCUGAUUUGGUCGGCUUGCCCGUCCUAGCGAGGGACCAUGCCUAGCGAGUCCGUACAACUGGUCUACUCUUGUUUCGCUUCGAUGAGUAGGUUUGUUUGGUGAGCUCAUCCUAGUACCUCAAAUGGACACGUUCCGGAUCAAAUUUUAGCACCGACUCGGAUUUGGCCGGAAUGUCCGUCCUCGUGAGGGACCAUGCCUAGCGAGUCCGUACAAGUGGUCUAGUCUUGUUUCGCUUCGAUGAGUAGGUUUGUAUGGUGUGCUCAUCCUAGUACCUCAAAUGGCCACGUUCCGGAUCAAAGCUUAGCACCGACUCCGAUUUACCCGGAUUGUCCGUCCUAGUGAGGGACCAUGCCUAGCGAGUCCGUAGAAGUGGUCUAGUCUUGUUUCGCUUCAAUAAGUAGGUUUGUUCGGUGUGCUCAUCCUAAUACCUCAAAUGGACACGUUCGGGAUCAAAGUUUACCACCGACUCCGAUUUGGCCGGAUUGUCUGUCUUAGGGAGGUACCAUGCCAAGCGAAUCCGUACAAGUGGUCUAGUCUUGUUUCGCUUCGAUCAAUUGGUUUGUUAGGUGUGCUCAUCGUAGUACCUCACAUAGACACGUUCCGGAACAAAGAUUAGCACCGACUCCGAUUUUGCCGGGUUGUCCGUCCUAGUGAGGGACCAUGCCUAGCGAGUUCGUACAAGUGGUCUAGUCUUGUGUCGCUUCCAUAAUUAGGUUUGUUUGGUGUGCUCAUCCUAAUACCUCAAAUGGACACGUUCCGGAACAAAGUUUAGCACCGAGUCCGAUUUACCCUGAUUGUCCGUCCUAGCGAGGGACCAUGCCUAGCGAGUCCGUACAAGUGGUCUACUCUUGUUUCGCUUCGAUGAGUAGGUUUGUUUGGUGUGCUCAUCCUAGUACCUCAAAUGGACACGUUCCGGAUCAAAGUUUAGCACCGACUCCGAUUCACCCGGAUUGUCCAUCCUAGUGAGGGACCAUGCCUAGCGAGUCCGUACAAGUGGUCUAGUCUUGUUUCGCUUCUAUCAAUUGGUUUGUUAGGUGUGCUCAUCCUAGUACCUCAAAUGGACACGUUCCGGAACAAAGUUUAGCACCGACUCCGAUUUACCCGGAUUGUCCGUCUGACGGAGGGACCAUGCCUAUCGAGUCCGUACAAGUGGUCUAGUCUUGUUUCGCUUCGAUGAGUAGGUUUGUUUGGUGUGCUCAUCCUAGUACCUCAAAUGGACACGUUCCGGAACAAAGUUUAGCACCUAGUCCGAUUUACCCUGAUUGUCCGUCCUAGCGAGGGACCAUGCCUAGCGAGUCCGUACAAGUGGUCUACUCUUGUUUCGCUUCGAUGAGUAGGUUUGUUUGGUGUGCUCAUCCUAGUACCCCAAAUGGACACGUUCCGGAUCAAAGUUUAGCACCGACUUCGAUUCACCCGGAUUGUCCGUCCUAGGGAGGGACCAUGCCUAGCGAGUCCGUACAAGUGGUCUAGUCUUGUUUCGCUUCGAUGAGUACGUUUGUUUUGGGUGCUCAUCCUCGUAGCUCAAAUGGACACGUUCCGGAUCAAAGCAUAGCACCGAUUCCGAUUUACCCGGAUUGUCCGUCCUACGGAGGGACCAUGCCUAUCGAGUCCGUACAAGUGGUCUAGUCUUGUUUCGUUCGAUGAGUAGCUUUGUUUGGUGUGCUCAUCCUAGUACCUCAAAUGGACACGUUCCGGAUCAAAGUUUAGCACCGACUCCGAUUCACCCGGAAUUUCCGUCCUAGGGAGGGACCAUGCCUAGCGAGUCCGUACAAGUGGUCUAGUCUUGUUUCGCUUCGAUCAAUUGGUUUGUUAGGUGUGCUCAUCGUAGUACCUCAGAUAGACACGUUCCGGAACAAAGUUUAGCACCGACUCCGAUUUUGCCGGAUUGUCCGUCCUAGUGAGGGACCAUGCCUAGCGAGUCCGUACAAGUGGUCUAGUCUUGUUUCGCUUCCAUAAGUAGGUUUCUUUGGUGUGCUCAUCCUAAUACCUCAAAUGGACACGUUCGGGAUCAAAGUUUAGCACCGACUCCGAUUUGGCCGGAUUGUCCGUCGUAGUAAGGGACCAUGCCUAGCGGGUCCGUAUAAGUGGUCUAGUCUUGUUUCGCUUCAAUAAGUAGGUUUGUUUGGUGUGCUCAUCCUAGUACCUCAAAUGGACACGUUCCGGAUCAAAGUUUAGCACCGACUCCGAUUCACCCGGAUUGUCCCUCCUAGUGAGGGACCAUGCCUAGCGAGUCCGUACAAGUGGUCUAGUCUUGUUUCGCUUCGAUGAGUAGGUUUGUUUGGUGUGCUCAUCCUAGUACAUCAAAUGGACACGUUCCGGAACAAAGUUUAGCACCGACUCCGAUUUUGCCGGAUUGUCCGUCGUAGGGAGGGACCAUGCCUAGCGAGUCCGUACAAGUGAUCUAGUCUUGUUUCGCUUCGAUCAGUAGGUUUGUAUGGUGUGCUCAUCCGAGUACCUCAAAUGGCCACGUUCCGGAUCAAAGCUUAGCACCGACUCCGAUUUACCCGGAUUGUCCGUCCUAGUGAGGGACCAUGCCUAGCGAGUCCGUAGAAGUGGUCUAGUCUUGUUUCGCUUCAAUAAGUAGGUUUGUUCGGUGUGCUCAUCCUAAUACCUCAAAUGGACACGUUCGGGAUCAAAGUUUACCACCGACUCCGAUUUGGCCGGAUUGUCUGUCUUAGGGAGGUACCAUGCCAAGCGAAUCCGUACAAGUGGUCUAGUCUUGUUUCGCUUCGAUCAAUUGGUUUGUUAGGUGUGCUCAUCGUAGUACCUCACAUAGACACGUUCCGGAACAAAGAUUAGCACCGACUCCGAUUUUGCCGGGUUGUCCGUCCUAGUGAGGGACCAUGCCUAGCGAGUUCGUACAAGUGGUCUAGUCUUGUGUCGCUUCCAUAAUUAGGUUUGUUUGGUGUGCUCAUCCUAAUACCUCAAAUGGACACCUUCGGGAUCAAAGUUUAGCACCGACUCCGAUUUGGCCGGAUUGUCCGUCGUAGUGAGGGACCAUGCCUAGCGGGUCCGUAUAAGUGGUCUAGUCUUGUUUCGCUUCAAUAAGUAGGUUUGUUUGGUGUGCUCAUCCUAGUAGCUCAAAUGGACACGUUCCAGAUCAAAGUUUAGCACCGACUCCGAUUUACCCGGAUUGUCCGUCUGACGGAGGGACCAUGCCUAUCGAGUCCGUACAAGUGGUCUAGUCUUGUUUCGCUUCGAUGAGUAGGUUUGUUUGGUGUGCUCAUCCUAGUACCUCAAAUGGACACGUUCCGGAACAAAGUUUAGCACCUAGUCCGAUUUAACCUGAUUGUCCGUCCUAGCGAGGGACCAUGCCUAGCGAGUCCGUACAAGUGGUCUACUCUUGUUUCGCUUCGAUGAGUAGGUUUGUUUGGUGUGCUCAUCCUAGUACCCCAAAUGGACACGUUCCGGAUCAAAGUUUAGCACCGACUUCGAUUCACCCGGAUUGUCCGUCCUAGGGAGGGACCAUGCCUAGCGAGUCCGUACAAGUGGUCUAGUCUUGUUUCGCUUCGAUGAGUACGUUUGUUUUGGGUGCUCAUCCUCGUAGCUCAAAUGGACACGUUCCGGAUCAAAGCUUAGCACCGAUUCCGAUUUACCCGGAUUGUCCGUCCUACGGAGGGACCAUGCCUAUCGAGUCCGUACAAGUGGUCUAGUCUUGUUUCGUUCGAUGAGUAGCUUUGUUUGGUGUGCUCAUCCUAGUACCUCAAAUGGACACGUUCCGGAUCAAAGUUUAGCACCGACUCCGAUUCACCCGGAAUUUCCGUCCUAGGGAGGGACCAUGCCUAGCGAGUCCGUACAAGUGGUCUAGUCUUGUUUCGCUUCGAUCAAUUGGUUUGUUAGGUGUGCUCAUCGUAGUACCUCAGAUAGACACGUUCCGGAACAAAGUUUAGCACCGACUCCGAUUUUGCCGGAUUGUCCGUCCUAGUGAGGGACCAUGCCUAGCGAGUCCGUACAAGUGGUCUAGUCUUGUUUCGCUUCCAUAAGUAGGUUUCUUUGGUGUGCUCAUCCUAAUACCUCAAAUGGACACGUUCGGGAUCAAAGUUUAGCACCGACUCCGAUUUGGCCGGAUUGUCCGUCGUAGUAAGGGACCAUGCCUAGCGGGUCCGUAUAAGUGGUCUAGUCUUGUUUCGCUUCAAUAAGUAGGUUUGUUUGGUGUGCUCAUCCUAGUACCUCAAAUGGACACGUUCCGGAUCAAAGUUUAGCACCGACUCCGAUUCACCCGGAUUGUCCCUCCUAGUGAGGGACCAUGCCUAGCGAGUCCGUACAAGUGGUCUAGUCUUGUUUCGCUUCGAUGAGUAGGUUUGUUUGGUGUGCUCAUCCUAGUACAUCAAAUGGACACGUUCCGGAACAAAGUUUAGCACCGACUCCGAUUUUGCCGGAUUGUCCGUCGUAGGGAGGGACCAUGCCUAGCGAGUCCGUACAAGUGAUCUAGUCUUGUUUCGCUUCGAUCAGUAGGUUUGUAUGGUGUGCUCAUCCGAGUACCUCAAAUGGCCACGUUCCGGAUCAAAGCUUAGCACCGACUCCGAUUUACCCGGAUUGUCCGUCCUAGUGAGGGACCAUGCCUAGCGAGUCCGUAGAAGUGGUCUAGUCUUGUUUCGCUUCAAUAAGUAGGUUUGUUCGGUGUGCUCAUCCUAAUACCUCAAAUGGACACGUUCGGGAUCAAAGUUUACCACCGACUCCGAUUUGGCCGGAUUGUCUGUCUUAGGGAGGUACCAUGCCAAGCGAAUCCGUACAAGUGGUCUAGUCUUGUUUCGCUUCGAUCAAUUGGUUUGUUAGGUGUGCUCAUCGUAGUACCUCACAUAGACACGUUCCGGAACAAAGAUUAGCACCGACUCCGAUUUUGCCGGGUUGUCCGUCCUAGUGAGGGACCAUGCCUAGCGAGUUCGUACAAGUGGUCUAGUCUUGUGUCGCUUCCAUAAUUAGGUUUGUUUGGUGUGCUCAUCCUAAUACCUCAAAUGGACACAUUCGGGAUCAAAGUUUAGCACCGACUCCGAUUUGGCCGGAUUGUCCGUCGUAGUGAGGGACCAUGCCUAGCGGGUCCGUAUAAGUGGUCUAGUCUUGUUUCGCUUCAAUAAGUAGGUUUGUUUGGUGUGCUCAUCCUAGUAGCUCAAAUGGACACGUUCCAGAUCAAAGUUUAGCACCGACUCCGAUUUACCCGGAUUGUCCGUCUGACGGAGGGACCAUGCCUAUCGAGUCCGUACAAGUGGUCUAGUCUUGUUUCGCUUCGAUGAGUAGGUUUGUUUGGUGUGCUCAUCCUAGUACCUCAAAUGGACACGUUCCGGAACAAAGUUUAGCACCUAGUCCGAUUUAACCUGAUUGUCCGUCCUAGCGAGGGACCAUGCCUAGCGAGUCCGUACAAGUGGUCUACUCUUGUUUCGCUUCGAUGAGUAGGUUUGUUUGGUGUGCUCAUCCUAGUACCCCAAAUGGACACGUUCCGGAUCAAAGUUUAGCACCGACUUCGAUUCACCCGGAUUGUCCGUCCUAGGGAGGGACCAUGCCUAGCGAGUCCGUACAAGUGGUCUAGUCUUGUUUCGCUUCGAUGAGUACGUUUGUUUUGGGUGCUCAUCCUCGUAGCUCAAAUGGACACGUUCCGGAUCAAAGCUUAGCACCGAUUCCGAUUUACCCGGAUUGUCCGUCCUACGGAGGGACCAUGCCUAUCGAGUCCGUACAAGUGGUCUAGUCUUGUUUCGUUCGAUGAGUAGCUUUGUUUGGUGUGCUCAUCCUAGUACCUCAAAUGGACACGUUCCGGAUCAAAGUUUAGCACCGACUCCGAUUCACCCGGAAUUUCCGUCCUAGGGAGGGACCAUGCCUAGCGAGUCCGUACAAGUGGUCUAGUCUUGUUUCGCUUCGAUCAAUUGGUUUGUUAGGUGUGCUCAUCGUAGUACCUCAGAUAGACACGUUCCGGAACAAAGUUUAGCACCGACUCCGAUUUUGCCGGAUUGUCCGUCCUAGUGAGGGACCAUGCCUAGCGAGUCCGUACAAGUGGUCUAGUCUUGUUUCGCUUCCAUAAGUAGGUUUCUUUGGUGUGCUCAUCCUAAUACCUCAAAUGGACACGUUCGGGAUCAAAGUUUAGCACCGACUCCGAUUUGGCCGGAUUGUCCGUCGUAGUAAGGGACCAUGCCUAGCGGGUCCGUAUAAGUGGUCUAGUCUUGUUUCGCUUCAAUAAGUAGGUUUGUUUGGUGUGCUCAUCCUAGUACCUCAAAUGGACACGUUCCGGAACAAAGUUUAGCACCUAGUCCGAUUUACCCUGAUUGUCCGUCCUAGCGAGGGACCAUGCCUAGCGAGUCCGUACAAGUGGUCUAGUCUUGUUUCGCUUCGAUCAAUUGGUUUGUUAGGUGUGCUCAUCGUAGUACCUCAGAUAGACACGUUCCGGAUCAAAGUUUAGCACCGACUCUGAUUUGGCCGGCUUGUCCGUCCUAGCGAGGGACCAUGCCUAGCGAGUCCGUACAACUGGUCUACUCUUGUUUCGCUUCGAUGAGUAGGUUUGUUUGGUGAGCUCAUCCUAGUACCUCAAAUGGACACGUUCCGGAUCAAAUUUGAGCACCGACUCGGAUUUGGCCGGAAUGUCCGUCCUAGUGAUGGACCAUGCCUAGCAAGUCCGUACAAGUGGUCUAGUCUUGUUUCGCUUCGAUGAGUAGGUUUGUUUGGUGUGCUCAUCCUAGUACCUCAAAUGGACACGUUCCGGAACAAAGUUUAGCACCGACUCCGAUUUUGCCGGAUUGUCCGUCGUAGGGAGGGACCAUGCCUAGCGAGUCCGUACAAGUGGUCUAGUCUUGUUUCGCUUCGAUCAGUAGGUUUGUAUGGUGUGCUCAUCCUAGUACCUCAAAUGGCCACGUUCCGGAUCAAAGCUUAGCACCGACUCCGAUUUACCCGGAUUGUCCGUCCUAGUGAGGGACCAUGCCUAGCAAGUGGUCUAGUCUUGUUUCGCUUCAAUAAGUAGGUUUGUUUGGUGUGCUCAUCCUAAUACCUCAAAUGGACACGUUCGGGAUCAAAGUUUAGCACCGACUCCGAUUUGGCCGGAUUGUCUGUCUUAGGGACGUACCAUGCCUAGCGAGUUCGUACAAGUGGUCUAGUCUUGUUUCGCUUCGAUCAAUUGGUUUGUUAGGUGUGCUCAUCGUAGUACCUCAAAUAGACACGUUCCGGAACAAAGUUUAGCACCGACUCCGAUUUUGCCGGAUUGUCCGUCCUAGUGAGGGACCAUGCCUAGCGAGUCCGUACAAGUGGUCUAGUCUUGUUUCGCUUCCAUAAGUAGGUUUCUUUGGUGUGCUCAUCCUAAUACCUCAAAUGGACACGUUCGGGAUCAAAGUUUAGCACCGACUCCGAUUUGGCCGGAUUGUCCGUCGUAGUAAGGGACCAUGCCUAGCGGGUCCGUAUAAGUGGUCUAGUCUUGUUUCGCUUCAAUAAGUAGGUUUGUUUGGUGUGCUCAUCCUAGUAGCUCAAAUGGACACGUUCCGGAUCAAAAUUUAGCACCGACUCCGAUUUACCCGGAUUGUCCGUCCGACGGAGGGACCAUGCCUAUCGAGUCCGUACAAGUGGUCUAGUCUUGUUUCGUUCGAUGAGUAGGUUUGUUUGGUGUGCUCAUCCUAGUACCUCAAAUGGACACGUUCCGGAACAAAGUUUAGCACCGAGUCCGAUUUACCCUGAUUGUCCGUCCUAGCGAGGGACCAUGCCUAGCGAGUCCGUACAAGUGGUCUACUCUUGUUUCGCUUCGAUGAGUAGGUUUGUUUGGUGUGCUCAUCCUAGUACCUCAAAUGGACACGUUCCGGAUCAAAGUUUAGCACCGACUCCGAUUCACCCGGAUUGUCCAUCCUAGUGAGGGACCAUGCCUAGCGAGUCCGUACAAGUGGUCUAGUCUUGUUUCGCUUCUAUCAAUUGGUUUGUUAGGUGUGCUCAUCCUCGUAGCUCAAAUUGACACGUUCCGGAUCAAAGUUUAGCACCGACUCCGAUUUGGCCGGAUUGUCCGUCGUAGUGAGGGACCAUGCCUUGCGGGUCCGUAUAAGUGGUCUAGUCUUGUUUCGCUUCAAUAAGUAGGUUCGUUUGGUGUGCUCAUCCUCGUAGCUCAAAUGGACACGUUCCGGAUGAAAGCUUAGCACCGACUCCGAUUUACCCGGAUUGUCCGUCCUACGGAGGGACCAUGCCUAUCGAGUCCGUACAAGUGGUCUAGUCUUGUUUCGCUUCGAUGAGUAGAUUUGUUUGGUGUGCUCAUCCUAGUACCUCAAAUGGACACGUUCCGGAUCAAAGUUUAGCACCGACUCCGAUUCACCCGGAUUGUCCGUCCUAGGGAGGGACCAUGCCUAGCGAGUCCGUACAACUGGUCUACUCUUGUUUCGCUUCGAUGAGUAGGUUUGUUUGGUGUGCUCAUCCUAGUACCUCAAAUGGACACGUUCCGGAUCAAAGUAAAGCACCGACUCUGAUUUGGCCGGCUUGCCCGUCCUAGCGAGGGACCAUGCCUAGCGAGUCCGUACAACUGGUCUACUCUUGUUUCGCUUCGAUGAGUAGGUUUGUUUGGUGAGCUCAUCCUAGUACCUCAAAUGGACACGUUCCGGAUCAAAUUUUAGCACCGACUCGGAUUUGGCCGGAAUGUCCGUCCUAGUGAGGGACCAUGCCUAGCGAGUCCGUACAAGUGGUCUAGUCUUGUUUCGCGUCGAUGAGUAGGUUUGUUUGGCGUGCUCAUCCUAGUACAUCAAAUGGACACGUUCCGGAACAUAGUUUAGCACCGACUCCGAUUUUGCCGGAUUGUCCGUCGUAGGGAGGGACCAUGCCUAGCGAGUCCGUACAAGUGAUCUAGUCUUGUUUCGCUUCGAUCAGUAGGUUUGUAUGGUGUGCUCAUCCGAGUACCUCAAAUGGCCACGUUCCGGAUCAAAGUUUAGCACCGACUCCGAUUUGGCCGGAUUGUCCGUCGUAGUGAGGGACCAUGCCUAGCGGGUCCGUAUAAGUGGUCUAGUCUUGUUUCGCUUCAAUAAGUAGGUUCGUUUGGUGUGCUCAUCCUCGUAGCUCAAAUGGACACGUUCCGGAUGAAAGCUUAGCACCGACUCCGAUUUACCCGGAUUGUCCGUCCUACGGAGGGACCAUGCCUAUCGAGUCCGUACAAGUGGUCUAGUCUUGUUUCGCUUCGAUGAGUAGAUUUGUUUGGUGUGCUCAUCCUAGUACCUCAAAUGGACACGUUCCGGAUCAAAGUUUAGCACCGACUCCGAUUCACCCGGAUUGUCCGUCCUAGGGAGGGACCAUGCCUAGCGAGUCCGUACAACUGGUCUACUCUUGUUUCGCUUCGAUGAGUAGGUUUGUUUGGUGUGCUCAUCCUAGUACCUCAAAUGGACACGUUCCGGAUCAAAGUAAAGCACCGACUCUGAUUUGGCCGGCUUGCCCGUCCUAGCGAGGGACCAUGCCUAGCGAGUCCGUACAACUGGUCUACUCUUGUUUCGCUUCGAUGAGUAGGUUUGUUUGGUGAGCUCAUCCUAGUACCUCAAAUGGACACGUUCCGGAUCAAAGUUUAGCACCGACUCCGAUUCACCCGGAUUGUCCAUCCUAGUGAGGGACCAUGCCUAGCGAGUCCGUACAAGUGGUCUAGUCUUGUUUCGCUUCUAUCAAUUGGUUUGUUAGGUGUGCUCAUCCUCGUAGCUCAAAUUGACACGUUCCGGAUCAAAGUUUAGCACCGACUCCGAUUUGGCCGGAUUGUCCGUCGUAGUGAGGGACCAUGCCUAGCGGGUCCGUAUAAGUGGUCUAGUCUUGUUUCGCUUCAAUAAGUAGGUUCGUUUGGUGUGCUCAUCCUCGUAGCUCAAAGGGACACGUUCCGGAUGAAAGCUUAGCACCGACUCCGAUUUACCCGGAUUGUCCGUCCUACGGAGGGACCAUGCCUAUCGAGUCCGUACAAGUGGUCUAGUCUUGUUUCGCUUCGAUGAGUAGAUUUGUUUGGUGUGCUCAUCCUAGUACCUCAAAUGGACACGUUCCGGAUCAAAGUUUAGCACCGACUCCGAUUCACCCGGAUUGUCCGUCCUAGGGAGGGACCAUGCCUAGCGAGUCCGUACAACUGGUCUACUCUUGUUUCGCUUCGAUGAGUAGGUUUGUUUGGUGUGCUCAUCCUAGUACCUCAAAUGGACACGUUCCGGAUCAAAGUAUAGCACCGACUCUGAUUUGGCCGGCUUGCCCGUCCUAGCGAGGGACCAUGCCUAGCGAGUCCGUACAACUGGUCUACUCUUGUUUCGCUUCGAUGAGUAGGUUUGUUUGGUGAGCUCAUCCUAGUACCUCAAAUGGACACGUUCCGGAUCAAAUUUUAGCACUGACUCCGUAUUACCCGGAUUGUCCGUCCUAGGGACGGACCAUGCCUAGCGAGUCCGUACAAGUGGUCUAGUCUUGUUUCGCUUCGAUGAGUAGGUUUGUUCGGUGUGCUCAUCCUAAUACCUCAAAUGGACACGUUCGGGAUCAAAGUUUACCACCGACUCCGAUUUGGCCGGAUUGUCUGUCUUAGGGAGGUACCAUGCCAAGCGAAUCCGUACAAGUGGUCUAGUCUUGUUUCGCUUCGAUCAAUUGGUUUGUUAGGUGUGCUCAUCGUAGUACCUCACAUAGACACGUUCCGGAACAAAGAUUAGCACCGACUCCGAUUUUGCCGGGUUGUCCGUCCUAGUGAGGGACCAUGCCUAGCGAGUCCGUACAAGUGGUCUAGUCUUGUUUCGCUUCCAUAAUUAGGUUUGUUUGGUGUGCUCAUCCUAAUACCUCAAAUGGACACAUUCGGGAUCAAAGUUUAGCACCGACUCCGAUUUGGCCGGAUUGUCCGUCGUAGUGAGGGACCAUGCCUAGCGGGUCCGUAUAAGUGGUCUAGUCUUGUUUCGCUUCAAUAAGUAGGUUUGUUUGGUGUGCUCAUCCUAGUAGCUCAAAUGGACACGUUCCAGAUCAAAGUUUAGCACCGACUCCGAUUUACCCGGAUUGUCCGUCUGACGGAGGGACCAUGCCUAUCGAGUCCGUACAAGUGGUCUAGUCUUGUUUCGCUUCGAUGAGUAGGUUUGUUUGGUGUGCUCAUCCUAGUACCUCAAAUGGACACGUUCCGGAACAAAGUUUAGCACCUAGUCCGAUUUACCCUGAUUGUCCGUCCUAGCGAGGGACCAUGCCUAGCGAGUCCGUACAAGUGGUCUACUCUUGUUUCGCUUCGAUGAGUACGUUUGUUUUGGGUGCUCAUCCUCGUAGCUCAAAUGGACACGUUCCGGAUCAAAGUUUAGCACCGACUUCGAUUCACCCGGAUUGUCCGUCCUAGGGAGGGACCAUGCCUAGCGAGUCCGUACAAGUGGUCUACUCUUGUUUCGCUUCGAUGAGUACGUUUGUUUUGGGUGCUCAUCCUCGUAGCUCAAAUGGACACGUUCCGGAUCAAAGCUUAGCACCGAUUCCGAUUUACCCGGAUUGUCCGUCCUACGGAGGGACCAUGCCUAUCGAGUCCGUACAAGUGGUCUAGUCUUGUUUCGUUCGAUGAGUAGCUUUGUUUGGUGUGCUCAUCCUAGUACCUCAAAUGGACACAUUCCGGAUCAAAGUUUAGCACCGACUCCGAUUCACCCGGAAUUUCCGUCCUAGGGAGGGACCAUGCCUAGCGAGUCCGUACAAGUGGUCUAGUCUUGUUUCGCUUCGAUCAAUUGGUUUGUUAGGUGUGCUCAUCGUAGUACCUCAGAUAGACACGUUCCGGAACAAAGUUUAGCACCGACUCCGAUUUUGCCGGAUUGUCCGUCCUAGUGAGGGACCAUGCCUAGCGAGUCCGUACAAGUGGUCUAUUCUUGUUUCGCUUCAAUAAGUAGGAUUGUUUGGUGUGCUCAUCCUAAUACCUCAAAUGGACACGUUCGGGAUCAAAGUUUAGCACCGACUCCGAUUUGGCCGGAUUGUCCGUCGUAGUGAGGGACCGUGCCUAGCGGGUCCGUAUAAGUGGUCUAGUCUUGUUUCGAUUGGAUGAGUACGUACAAGUGGUCUAGUCUUGUUUCGCUUCGAUGAGUAGGUUUGUUUGGUGUGCUCUUCCUAGUACCUCAAAUGGACACGUUCCGGAACAAAGUUUAGCACCGACUCCGUAUUACCCGGAUUGUCCGUCCUAGGGACGGACCAUGCCUAGCGAGUCCGUGCAAGUGGUCUAGUCUUGUUUCGCUUCGAUGAGUAGGUUUGUUUGGUGUGCUCAUCCUACUACCUCAAAUGGACACGUUCGGGAUCAAAGUUUAGCACCGACUCCGAUUUGGCCGGAUUGUCCGUCGUAGUGAGGGACCAUGCCUAACGGGUCCGUAUAAGUGGUCUAGUCUUGUUUCGCUUCAAUAAGUAGGUUUGUUUGGUGUGAAAAUGCUCGUAGCUCAAAUGGACACGUUCCGGAUCAAAAUUUAGCACCGACUCCGAUUUAUCCGGAUUGUCCGUCCUACGGAGGGACCAUGCCUAUCGAGUCCGUACAAGUGGUCUAGUCUUGUUUCGCUUCGAUGAGUAGGUUUGUUUGGUGUGCUCAUCCUAGUACCUCAAAUGGACACGUUCCGGAACAAAGUUUAGCACCGAGUCCGAUUUACCCUGAUUGUCCGUCCUAGCGAGGGACCAUGCCUAGCGAGUCCGUACAACUGGUCUACUCUUGUUUCGCUUCGAUGAGUAGGUUUGUUUUGUGUGCUCAUCCUAGUACCUCAAAUGCACACGUUCCGGAUCAAAGUUUUGCACCGACUCCGAUUUACCCGGAUUGUCCGUCCUACGGAGUGACCAUGCCUAUCGAGUCCGUACAAGUGGUCUAGUCUUGUUUCGCUUUGAUGAGUAGGUUUGUUUGGUGUGCUCAUCCUAGUACCUCAAAUGGACACGUUCCGGAACAAAGUUUAGCACCGAGUCCGAUUUACCCUGAUUGUCCGUCCUAGCGAGGGACCAUGCCUAGCGAGUCCGUACAACUGGUCUACUCUUGUUUCGCUUCGAUGAGUAGGUUUGUUUUGUGUGCUCAUCCUAAUACCUCAAAUACACACGUUUCGGAUCAAAUUUUAGCACCGACUCGGAUUUGGCCGGAAUGUUCGUCCUAGUGGGGGACCAUGCCUAGCGACUCCGUACAAGUGGUCUAGGUUUGUUUCGCUUCGAUGAGUAGGUUUGUUUGGUGUGCUCAUCCUACUACCUCAAAUGGACACGUUCGGGAUCAAAGUUUAGCACCGACUCUGAUUUGGCCGGAUUGUCCGUCGUAGGGAGGGACCAUGCCUAGCGAGUCCGUAGAAGUGGUCUAGUCUUGUUUCGCUUCAAUAAGUAGGUUUGUUUGGUGUGCUCAUCCUAGUAGCUCAAAUGGACACAUUCCGGAUCAAAGUUUAGCACCGACUCCGAUUUACCCGGAUUGUCCGUCCUACGGAGGGACCAUGCCUAUCGAGUCCGUACAAGUGGUCUAGUCUUGUUUCGCUUCGAUGAGUAGGUUUGUUUGGUGUGCUCAUCCUAGGACCUCAAAUGGACACGUUCCGGAACAAAGUUUAGCACCGAGUCCGAUUUACCCUGAUUGUCCGUCCUAGCGAGGUACCAUGCCUAGCGAGUCCGUACAACUGGUCUGCUCUUGUUUCGCUUCGAUGAGUAGGUUUGUUUCGUGUGCUCAUCCUAGUACCUCAAAUGCACACGUUCCGGAUCAUAUUUUACCACCGACUCGGAUUUGGCCGGAAUGUCCGUCCUUGGGAGGGACCAUGCCUAGCGAGUCCGUACAACUGGUCUACUCUUGUUUCGCUUCGAUGAGUAGGUUUGUUUGGUGUGCUCAUCCUAGUACCUCAGAUGGACACGUUCCGGAUAAAAGUUUAGCACCGACUCCGAUUUGGCCGGAUUGUCCGUCGUAGUGAGGGACCGUGCCUAGCGGGUCCGUAUAAGUGGUCUAGUCUUGUUUCGCUUCAAUAAGUAGGUUUGUUUGGUGUGCUCAUGCUCGUAGCUCAAAUGGACACGUUCCGGAUCAAAGUUUAGCACCGACUCCGAUUUACCCGGAUUGUCCGUCCUACGGAGGGACCAUGUCUAUCGAGUCCGUACAAGUGGUCUCGUCUUGUUUCGCUUCGAUGAGUAGGUUUGUUUGGUGUGCUCAUCGUAGUACCUCAAAUGGACACGUUCCGGAACAAAGUUUAGCACCGACUCCGAUUUACCCGGAUUGUCCGUCCUACGGAGGGACCAUGCCUAUCGAGUCCGUACAAGUGGUCUAGUCUUGUUUCGUUUCGAUGAGUAGGUUUGUUUUGUGUGCUCAUCCUAGUACCUCAAAUGGACACGUUCCGGAACAAAGUUUAGCACCGACUCCGUAUUACCCGGAUUGUCCGUCCUAGGGACGGACCAUGCCUAGCGAGUCCGUACAAGUGGUCUAGUCUUGUUUCGCUUCGCUGAGUACGUUUGUUUGGUGUGCUCAUCCUAGUACCUCAAAUGGACACGUUCCGGAUCAAAGUUUAGCACCGACUCUGAUUUGGCCGGCUUGUCCGUCCUAGCGAGGGACCAUGCGUAGCGUGUCCGUACAACUGGUCUACUCUUGUUUCGCUUCGAUGAGUAGGUUUGUUUGUUGAGCUCAUCGUAGUACCUCAAAUGGACACGUUCCGGAUCAAAUUUUAGCACCGACUCUGAUUUGGCCGGCUUGUCCGUCCUAGCGAGGGACCAUGCGUAGCGUGUCCGUACAACUGGUCUACUCUUGUUUCGCUUCGAUGAGUAGGUUUGUUUGUUGAGCUCAUCGUAGUACCUCAAAUGGACACGUUCCGGAUCAAAUUUUAGCACCGACUCUGAUUUGGCCGGAUUGUCCGUCCUAGGGAGGGACCAUGCCUAGCGAGUCCGUACAAGUGGUCAAGUCUUGUUUCGCUUCGAUGAGUACGUUUGUGUUGUGUGCUCAUCCUCGUAGCUCAAAUGGACACGUUCCGGAUCAAAGUUUAGCACCGACUCCGAUUUACCCGGAUUGUCCGUCCUACGGAGGGACCAUGCCUAUCGAGUCCAUACAAGUGGUCUAGUCUUGUUUCGCUUCGAUGAGUAGGUUUGUUUGGUGUGCUCAUCCUAGUACCUCAAAUGGACACGUUCCGGAACAAAGUUUAGCACCGAGUCCGAUUUACCCUGAUUGUCCGUCCUAGCGAGGGACCAUGCCUAGCGAGUCCGUACAACUGGUCUACUCUUGUUUCGCUUCGAUGAGUAGGUUUGUUUCGUGUGCUCAUCCUAGUACCUCAAAUCCACACGUUCCGGAUCAAAUUUUAGCACCGACUCGGAUUUGGCCGGAAUGUCCGUCCUUGGGAGGGACCAUGCCUAGCGAGUCCGUACAACUAGUCUACUCUUGUUUCGCUUCGAUGAGUAGGUUUGUUUCGUGUGCUCAUCCUAGUACCUCAAAUGGACACGUUCCGGAUCAAAGUUUAGCACCGACUCCGAUUCACCCGGAUUGUCCGUCCUAGUGAGGGACCAUGCCUAGCGAGUCCGUACAAGUGGUCUAGUCUUGUUUCGCUUCGAUCAAUUGGUUUGUUAGGUGUGCUCAUCGUAGUACCUCAGAUAGACACGUUCCGGAACAAAGUUUAGCACCGACUCCGAUUUUGCCGGAUUGUCUGUCCUAGUGAGGGACCAUGCCUAGCGAGUCCGUACAAGUGGUCUAUUCUUGUUUCGCUUCAAUAAGUAGGUUUGUUUGGUGUCCUCAUCCUAAUACCUCAAAUGGACACGUUCGGGAUCAAAGUUUAGCACCGACUCCGAUUUGGCCGGAUUGUCCGUCGUAGUGAGGGACCGUGCCUAGCGGGUCCGUAUAAGUGGUCUAGUCUUGUUUCGCUUCAAUAAGUAGGUUUGUUUGGUGUGCUCAUCCUCGUAGCUCAAAUGGACACGUUCCGGAUCAAAGUUUAGCACCGACUCCGAUUUACCCGGAUUGUCCGUCCUAGUGAGGGACCAUGCCUAGCGAGUCCGUACAAGUGGUCUAGUCUUGUUUCGCUUCGAUGAGUAGGUUUGUUUGGUGUGCUCAUCCUAGUACCUCAAAUGGACACGUUCCGGAACAAAGUUUAGCACCGACUCCGAUUUAGCCGGAUUGUCCGACCUACGGAGGGACCAUGCCUAUCGAGUCCGUACAAGUGGUCUAGUCUUGUUUCGCUUCGAUGAGUAGGUUUGUUUGGUGUGCUCAUCCUAGUACCUCAAAUGGACACGUUCCGGAACAAAGUUUAGCACCGACUCCGUAUUACCCGGAUUGUCCGUCCUAGGAACGGACCAUGCCUAGCGAGUCCGUACAAGUGGUCUAGUCUUGUUUCGCUUCGAUGUGUACGUUUGUUUUGUGUGCUCAUCCUCGUAGCUCAAAUGGACACGUUCCGGAUCAAAGUUUAGCACCGACUCCGAUUUACCCGGAUUGUCCGUCCUACGGAGGGACCAUGCCUAUCGAGUCCGUACAAGUGGUCUAGUCUUGUUUCGCUUCGAUGAGUAGGUUUGUUUGGUGUGCUCAUCCUAGUACCUCAAAUGGACACGUUCCGGAACAAAGUUUAGCACCGAGUCCGAUUUACCCUGAUUGUCCGUCCUAGCGAGGGACCAUGCCUAGCGAGUCCGUACAACUGGUCUACUCUUGUUUCGCUUCGAUGAGUAGGUUUGUUUCGUGUGCUCAUCCUAGUACCUCAAAUGCACAUGUUCCGGAUCAAAUUUUAGCACCGACUCGGAUUUGGCCGGAAUGUCCGUCCUUGGGAGGGACCAUGCCUAGCGAGUCCGUACAACUGGUCUACUCUUGUUUCGCUUCGAUGAGUAGGUUUGUUUCGUGUGCUCAUCCUAGUACCUCAAAUGGACACGUUCCGGAUCAAAGUUUAGCACCGACUCCGAUUCACCCGGAUUGUCCGUCCUAGUGAGGGACCAUGCCUAGCGAGUCCGUACAAGUGGUCUAGUCUUGUUUCGCUUCGAUCAAUUGGUUUGUUAGGUGUGCUCAUCGUAGUACCUCAGAUAGACACGUUCCGGAACAAAGUUUAGCACCGACUCCGAUUUUGCCGGAUUGUCCGUCCUAGUGUGGGACCAUGCCUAGCGAGUCCGUACAAGUGGUCUAUUCUUGUUUCGCUUCAAUAAGUAGGUUUGUUUGGUGUGCUCAUCCUAAUACCUCAAAUGGACACGUUCGGGAUCAAAGUUUAGCACUGACUCCGAUUUGGCCGGAUUGUCCGUCGUAGUGAGGGACCGUGCCUAGCGGGUCCGUAUAAGUGGUCUAGUCUUGUUUCGCUUCAAUAAGUAGGUUUGUUUGGUGUGCUCAUCCUCGUAGCUCAAAUGGACACGUUCCGGAUCAAAGUUUAGCACCGACUCCGAUUUACCCGGAUUGUCCGUCCUAGUGAGGGACCAUGCCUAGCGAGUCCGUACAAGUGGUCUAGUCUUGUUUCGCUUCGAUGAGUAGGUUUGUUUGGUGUGCUCAUCCUAGUACCUCAAAUGGACACGUUCCGGAACAAAGUUUAGCACCGACUCCGUAUUACCCGGAUUGUCCGUCCUAGGGACGGACCAUGCCUAGCGAGUCCGUACAAUUGGUCUAGUCUUUUUUCGCGUCGAUGAGUACGUUUGUUUGGUGUGCUCAUCCUAGUAGCUCAAAUGGACACGUUCCGGAUCAAAGUUUAGCACCGACUCUGAUUUGGCCGGAUUGUCCGUCCUAGCGAGGGACCAUGCCUAGCGAGUCCGUACAAGUGGUCUAGUCUUGUUUCGCAUCGAUGAGUAGGUUUGUUUGGUGUGCUCAUCCUAGUACCUCAAAUGGACACGUUCCGGAUCAAAGUUUAGCACCGACUCUGAUUUGGCCGGCUUGUCCGUCCUAUCGAGGGACCAAGCGUAGCGAGUCCGUACAACUGGUCUACUCUUGUUUUGCUUCGAUGAGUAGGUUUGUUUGUUGAGCUCAUCGUAGUACCUCAAAUGGACACGUUCCGGAUCAAAUUUUAGCACCGACUCGGAUUUGGCCGGAUUGUCCGUCCUAGGGAGGGACCAUGCCUAGCGAGUCCGUACAAGUGGUCUAGUCUUGUUUCGCUUCGAUGUGUACGUUUGUUUUGUGUGCUCAUCCUCGUAGCUCAAAUGGACACGUUCCGGAUCAAAGUUUAGCACCGACUCCGAUUUACUCGGAUUGUCCGUCCUACGGAGCGACCAUGCCUAUCGAGUCCGUACAAGUGGUCUAGUCUUGUUUCGCUGCGAUGAGUAGGUUUGUUUGGUGUGCUCAUCCUAGUACCUCAAAUGGACACGUUCCGGAUCAAAGUUUAGCACCGACUCUGAUUUGGCCGGAUUGUCCGUCCUAGCGAGAGACAAUGCCUAGCGAGUCCGUACAAGUGGUCUAGUCUUGUUUCGCUUGGAUGAGUACGUUUGUUUUGUGUGCUCAUCCUCGUAGCUCAAAUGGACACGUUCCGGAUCAAAGUUUAGCGCCGACUCCGAUUUACCCGGAUUGUCCGUCCUACGGAGGGACCAUGCCUAUCGAGUCCGUACAAGUGGUCUAGUCUUGUUUCGCUUCGAUGAGUAGGUUUGUUUGGUGUGCUAAUCCUAGGACCUCAAAUGGACACGUUCCGGAUCAAAGUUUAGCACCGAGUCCGAUUUACCCUGAUUGUCCGUCCUAGCGAGGGACCAUGCCUAGCGAGUCCGUACAACUGGUCUGCUCUUGUUUCGCUUCGAUGAGUAUGUUUGUUUCGUGUGCUCAUCCUAGUACCUCAAAUGCACACGUUCCGGAUCAAAUUUUACCACCGACUCGGAUUUGGCCAGAAUGUCCGUCCUUGGGAGGGACCAUGCCUAGCGAGUCCGUACAACUUGUCUACUCUUGUUUCGCUUCGAUGAGUAGGUUUGUUUGGUGUGCUCAUCCUAGUACCUCAAAUGGACACGUUCCGGAUAAAAGUUUAGCACCGACUCCGAUUUGGCCGGAUUGUCCGUCGUAGUGAGGGACCGUGCCUAGCGGGUCCGUAUAAGUGGUCUAGUCUUGUUUCGCUUCAAUAAGUAGGUUUGUUUGGUGUGCUCAUCCUCGUAGCUCAAAUGGACACGUUCCGGAUCAAAGUUUAGCACCGACUCCGAUUUACCCGGAUUGUCCGUCCUACGGAGGGACCAUGUCUAUCGAGUCCGUACAAGUGGUCUAGUCUUGUUUCGCUUCGAUGAGUAGGUUUGUUUGGUGUGCUCAUCCUAGUACCUCAAAAGGACACGUUCCGGAACAAAGUUUAGCACCGACUCCGUAUUACCCGGAGUGUCCGUCCUAGGGACGGACCAUGCCUAGCGAGUCCGUACAAGUGGUCUAGUCUUGUUUCGCUUCGAUGAGUACGUUUGUUUGGUGUGCUCAUCCUAGUAGCUCAAAUGGACACGUUCCGGAUCAAAGUUUAGCACCGACUCUGAUUUGGCCGGAUUGUCCGUCCUAGCGAGGGACCAUGCCUAGCGAGUCCGUACAAGUGGUCUAGUCUUGUUUCGCUUCGAUGAGUAGGUUUGUUUGUUGUGCUCAUCCUAGUACCUCAAAUGGACACGUUCCGGAUCAAAGUUUAGCACCGACUCUGAUUUGGCCGGCUUGUCCGUCCUAGCGAGGGACCAUGCGUAGCGUGUCCGUACACCUGGUCUACUCUUGUUUCGCUUCGAUGAGUAGGUUUGUUUGGUGUGCUCAUCCUAGCACCUCAAAUGGACACGUUCCGGAUCAAAUUUUAGCACCGACUCGGAUUUGGCCGGAUUGUCCGUCCUAGGGAGGGACCAUGCCUAGCGAGUCCGUACAAGUGGUCUAGUCUUGUUUCGCUUCGAUGAGUACGUUUGUCUUGUGUGCUCAUCCUAGUACCUCAAAUGGACACGUUCCGGAACAAAGUUUAGCACCGACUCCGAUUUACCCGGAUUGUCCGUCCUACGGAGAGACCAUGCCUAUCGAGUCCGUACAAGUGGUCUAGUCUUGUUUCGUUCGAUGAGUAGGUUUGUUUGGUGUGCUCAUCCUAGUACCUCAAAUGGACACGUUCCGGAACAAAGUUUAGCACCGACUCCGUAUUACCCGGAUUGUCCGUCCUAGGGACGGACCAUGCCUAGCGAGUCCGUACAACAGGUCUAGUCUUGUUUCGCUUCGAUGAGUACGUUUGUUUGGUGUGCUCAUCCUAGUACCUCAAAUGCACACGUUCCGGAUCAAAUUUUACCACCGACUCGGAUUUGGCCAGAAUGUCCGUCCUUGGGAGGGACCAUGCCUAGCGAGUCCGUACAACUUGUCUACUCUUGUUUCGCUUCGAUGAGUAGGUUUGUUUGGUGUGCUCAUCCUAGUACCUCAAAUGGACACGUUCCGGAUAAAAGUUUAGCACCGACUCCGAUUUGGCCGGAUUGUCCGUCGUAGUGAGGGACCGUGCCUAGCGGGUCCGUAUAAGUGGUCUAGUCUUGUUUCGCUUCAAUAAGUAGGUUUGUUUGGUGUGCUCAUCCUCGUAGCUCAAAUGGACACGUUCCGGAUCAAAGUUUAGCACCGACUCCGAUUUACCCGGAUUGUCCGUCCUACGGAGGGACCAUGUCUAUCGAGUCCGUACAAGUGGUCUAGUCUUGUUUCGCUUCGAUGAGUAGGUUUGUUUGGUGUGCUCAUCCUAGUACCUCAAAUGGACACGUUCCGGAACAAAGUUUAGCACCGACUCCGUAUUACCCGGAUUGUCCGUCCUAGGGACGGACCAUGCCUAGCGAGUCCGUACAAGUGGUCUAGUCUUGUUUCGCUUCGAUGAGUACGUUUGUUUGGUGUGCUCAUCCUAGUACCUCAAAUGGACACGUUCCGGAUCAAAUUUUAGCACCGACUCGGAUUUGGCCGGAUUGUCCGUCCUAGGGAGGGACCAUGCCUAGCGAGUCCGUACAAGUGGUCUAGUCUUGUUUCGCUUCGAUGAGUACGUUUGUCUUGUGUGCUCAUCCUCGUAGCUCAAAUGGACACGUUCCGGAUCAAAGUUUAGCACCGACUCCGAUUUACCCGGAUUGUCCGUCCUACGGAGAGAUCAUGCCUAUCGAGUCCGUACAAGUGGUCUAGUCUUGUUUCGCUUCGAUGAGUAGGUUUGUUUGGUGUGCUCAUCCUAGGACCUCAAAUGGACACGUUCCGGAUCAAAGUUUAGCACCGAGUCCGAUUUACCCUGAUUGUCCGUCCUAGCGAGGGACCAUGCCUAGCGAGUCCGUACAACUGGUCUGCUCUUGUUUCGCUUCGAUGAGUAGGUUUGUUUCGUGUGCUCAUCCUAGUACCUCAAAUGCACACGUUCCGGAUCAAAUUUUAGCACCGACUCGGAUUUGGCCGGAAUGUCCGUCCUUGGGAGGGACCAUGCCUAGCGAGUCCGUACAACUGGUCUACUCUUGUUUCGCUUCGAUGAGUAGGUCUGUUUCGUGUGCUCAUCCUAGUACCUCAAAUGGACACGUUCCGGAUCAAAGUUUAGCACCGACUCCGAUUCACCCGGAUUGUCCGUCCUAGUGAGGGACCCUGCCUAGCGAGUCCGUACAAGUGGUCUAGUCUUGUUUCGCUUCGAUCAAUUGGUUUGUUAGGUGUGCUCAUCGUAGUACCUCAGAUAGACACGUUCCGGAACAAAGUUUAGCACCGACUCCGAUUUUGACGGAUUGUCCGUCCUAGUGAGGGACCAUGCCUAGCGAGUCCGUACAAGUGGUCUAGUCUUGUUUCGCUUCGAUGUGUACGUUUGUUUUGUGUGCUCAUCCUCGUAGCUCAAAUGGACACGUUCCGGAUCAAAGUUUAGCACCGACUCCGAUUUACCCGGAUUGUCCGUCCUACGGAGCGACCAUGCCUAUCGAGUCCGUACAAGUGGUCUAGUCUUGUUUCGCUUCGAUGAGUAGGUUUGUUUGGUGUGCUCAUCCUAGUACCUCAAAUGGACACGUUCCGGAUCAAAGUUUAGCACCGACUCUGAUUUGGCCGGAUUGUCCGUCCUAGCGAGGGACCAUGCCUAGCGAGUCCGUACAAGUGGUCUAGUCUUGUUUCGCUUGGAUUAGUACGUUUGUUUUGUGUGCUCAUCCUCGUAGCUCAAAUGGACACGUUCCGGAUCAAAGUUUAGCGCCGACUCCGAUUUAUCCGGAUUGUCCGUCCUACGGAGGGACCAUGCCUAUCGAGUCCGUACAAGUGGUCUAGUCUUGUUUCGCUUUGAUGAGUAGGUUUGUUUGGUGUGCUCAUCCUAGGACCUCAAAUGGACACGUUCCGGAUCAAAGUUUAGCACCGAGUCCGAUUUACCCUGAUUGUCCGUCCUAGCGAGGGACCAUGCCUAGCGAGUCCGUACAACUGGUCUGCUCUUGUUUCGCUUCGAUGAGUAGGUUUGUUUCGUGUGCUCAUCCUAGUACCUCAAAUGCACACGUUCCGGAUCAAAUUUUACCACCGACUCGGAUUUGGCCAGAAUGUCCGUCCUUGGGAGGGACCAUGCCUAGCGAGUCCGUACAACUUGUCUACUCUUGUUUCGCUUCGAUGAGUAGGUUUGUUUGGUGUGCUCAUCCUAGUACCUCAAAUGGACACGUUCCGGAUAAAAGUUUAGCACCGACUCCGAUUUGGCCGGAUUGUCCGUCGUAGUGAGGGACCGUGCCUAGCGGGUCCGUAUAAGUGGUCUAGUCUUGUUUCGCUUCAAUAAGUAGGUUUGUUUGGUGUGCUCAUCCUCGUAGCUCAAAUGGACACGUUCCGGAUCAAAGUUUAGCACCGACUCCGAUUUACCCGGAUUGUCCGUCCUACGGAGGGACCAUGUCUAUCGAGUCCGUACAAGUGGUCUAGUCUUGUUUCGCUUCGAUGAGUAGGUUUGUUUGGUGUGCUCAUCCUAGUACCUCAAAUGGACACGUUCCGGAACAAAGUUUAGCACCGACUCCGAUUUACCCGGAUUGUCCGUCCUACGGAGGGACCAUGCCUAUCGAGUCCGUACAAGUGGUCUAGUCUUGUUUCGUUCGAUGAGUAGGUUUGUUUGGUGUGCUCAUCCUAGUACCUCAAAUGGACACGUUCCGGAACAAAGUUUAGCACCGACUCCGUAUUACCCGGAUUGUCCGUCCUAGGGACGGACCAUGCCUAGCGAGUCCGUACAAGUGGUCUAGUCUUGUUUCGCUUCGAUGAGUACGUUUGUUUGGUGUGCUCAUCCUAGUACCUCAAAUGGACACGUUCCGGAUCAAAUUUUAGCACCGACUCGGAUUUGGCCGGAUUGUCCGUCCUAGGGAGGGACCAUGCCUAGCGAGUCCGUACAAGUGGUCUAGUCUUGUUUCGCUUCGAUGAGUACGUUUGUCUUGUGUGCUCAUCCUCGUAGCUCAAAUGGACACGUUCCGGAUCAAAGUUUAGCACCGACUCCGAUUUACCCGGAUUGUCCGUCCUACGGAGAGAUCAUGCCUAUCGAGUCCGUACAAGUGGUCUAGUCUUGUUUCGCUUCGAUGAGUAGGUUUGUUUGGUGUGCUCAUCCUAGGACCUCAAAUGGACACGUUCCGGAUCAAAGUUUAGCACCGAGUCCGAUUUACCCUGAUUGUCCGUCCUAGCGAGGGACCAUGCCUAGCGAGUCCGUACAACUGGUCUGCUCUUGUUUCGCUUCGAUGAGUAGGUUUGUUUCGUGUGCUCAUCCUAGUACCUCAAAUGCACACGUUCCGGAUCAAAUUUUAGCACCGACUCGGAUUUGGCCGGAAUGUCCGUCCUUGGGAGGGACCAUGCCUAGCGAGUCCGUACAACUGGUCUACUCUUGUUUCGCUUCGAUGAGUAGGUCUGUUUCGUGUGCUCAUCCUAGUACCUCAAAUGGACACGUUCCGGAUCAAAGUUUAGCACCGACUCCGAUUCACCCGGAUUGUCCGUCCUAGUGAGGGACCCUGCCUAGCGAGUCCGUACAAGUGGUCUAGUCUUGUUUCGCUUCGAUCAAUUGGUUUGUUAGGUGUGCUCAUCGUAGUACCUCAGAUAGACACGUUCCGGAACAAAGUUUAGCACCGACUCCGAUUUUGACGGAUUGUCCGUCCUAGUGAGGGACCAUGCCUAGCGAGUCCGUACAAGUGGUCUAGUCUUGUUUCGCUUCGAUGUGUACGUUUGUUUUGUGUGCUCAUCCUCGUAGCUCAAAUGGACACGUUCCGGAUCAAAGUUUAGCACCGACUCCGAUUUACCCGGAUUGUCCGUCCUACGGAGCGACCAUGCCUAUCGAGUCCGUACAAGUGGUCUAGUCUUGUUUCGCUUCGAUGAGUAGGUUUGUUUGGUGUGCUCAUCCUAGUACCUCAAAUGGACACGUUCCGGAUCAAAGUUUAGCACCGACUCUGAUUUGGCCGGAUUGUCCGUCCUAGCGAGGGACCAUGCCUAGCGAGUCCGUACAAGUGGUCUAGUCUUGUUUCGCUUGGAUUAGUACGUUUGUUUUGUGUGCUCAUCCUCGUAGCUCAAAUGGACACGUUCCGGAUCAAAGUUUAGCGCCGACUCCGAUUUACCCGGAUUGUCCGUCCUACGGAGGGACCAUGCCUAUCGAGUCCGUACAAGUGGUCUAGUCUUGUUUCGCUUUGAUGAGUAGGUUUGUUUGGUGUGCUCAUCCUAGGACCUCAAAUGGACACGUUCCGGAUCAAAGUUUAGCACCGAGUCCGAUUUACCCUGAUUGUCCGUCCUAGCGAGGGACCAUGCCUAGCGAGUCCGUACAACUGGUCUGCUCUUGUUUCGCUUCGAUGAGUAGGUUUGUUUCGUGUGCACAUCCUAGUACCUCAAAUGCACUCGUUCCGGAUCAAAUUUUACCACCGACUCGGAUUUGGCCAGAAUGUCCGUCCUUGGGAGGGACCAUGCCUAGCGAGUCCGUACAACUUGUCUACUCUUGUUUCGCUUCGAUGAGUAGGUUUGUUUGGUGUGCUCAUCCUAGUACCUCAAAUGGACACGUUCCGGAUGAAAGUUUAGCACCGACUCCGAUUUGGCCGGAUUGUCCGUCGUAGUGAGGGACCGUGCCUAGCGGGUCCGUAGAAGUGGUCUAGUCUUGUUUCGCUUCAAUAAGUAGGUUUGUUUGGUGUGCUCAUCCUCGUAGCUCAAAUGGACACGUUCCGGAUCAAAGUUUAGCACCGACUCCGAUUUACCCGGAUUGUCCGUCCUACGGAGGGACCAUGUCUAUCGAGUCCGUACAAGUGGUCUAGUCUUGUUUCGCUUCGAUGAGUAGGUUUGUUUGGUGUGCUCAUCGUAGUACCUCAAAUGGACACGUUCCGGAACAAAGUUUAGCACCGACUCCGAUUUACCCGGAUUGUCCGUCCUACGGAGGGACCAUGCCUAUCGAGUCCGUACAAGUGGUCUAGUCUUGUUUCGCUUCGAUGAGUAGGUUUGUUUGGUGUGCUCAUCCUAGUACCUCAAAAGGACACGUUCCGGAACAAAGUUUAGCACGGACUCCGUAUUACCCGGAUUGUCCGUCCUAGGGACGGACCAUGCCUAGCGAGUCCGUAUAAGUGGUCUAGUCUUGUUUCGCUUCGAUGAGUACGUUUGUUUGGUGUGCUCAUCCUAGUAGCUCAAAUGGACACGUUCCGGAUCAAAGUUUAGCACCGACUCUGAUUUGGCCGGAUUGUCCGUCCUAGCGAGGGACCAUGCCUAGCGAGUCCGUACAAGUGGUCUAGUCUUGUUUCGCUUCGAUGAGUAGGUUUGUUUGUUGUGCUCAUCCUAGUACCUCAAAUGGACACGUUCCGGAUCAAAGUUUAGCACCGACUCUGAUUUGGCCGGCUUGUCCGUCCUAGCGAGGGACCAUGCGUAGCGUGUCCGUACAACUGGUCUACUCUUGUUUCGCUUCGAUGAGUAGGUUUGUUUGUUGAGCUCAUCGUAGUACCUCAAAUGGACACGUUCCGGAUCAAAUUUUAGCACCGACUCGGAUUUGGCCGGAUUGUCCGUCCUAGGGAGGGACCAUGCCUAGCGAGUCCGUACAAGUGGUCUAGUCUUGUUUGGCUUCGAUGAGUACGUUUGUCUUGUGUGCUCAUCCUCGUAGCUCAAAUGGACACGUUCCGGAUCAAAGUUUAGCACCGACUCCGAUUUACCCGGAUUGUCCGUCCUACGGAGAGACCUUGCCUAUCGAGUCCGUACAAGUGGUCUAGUCUUGUUUCGCUUCGAUGAGUAGGUUUGUGUGGUGUGCUCAUCCUAGGACCUCAAAUGGACACGUUCCGGAUCAAAGUUUAGCACCGAGUCCGAUUUACCCUGAUUGUCCGUCCUAGCGAGGGACCAUGCCUAGCGAGUCCGUACAACUGGUCUGCUCUUGUUUCGCUUCGAUGAGUAGGUUUGUUUCGUGUGCUCAUCCUAGUACCUCAAAUGCACACGUUCCGGAUCAAAUUUUACCACCGACUCGGAUUUGGCCAGAAUGUCCGUCCUUGGGAGGGACCAUGCCUAGCGAGUCCGUACAACUUGUCUACUCUUGUUUCGCUUCGAUGAGUAGGUUUGUUUGGUGUGCUCAUCCUAGUGCCUCAAAUGGACACGUUCCGGAUAAAAGUUUAGCACCGACUCCGAUUUGGCCGGAUUGUCCGUCGUAGUGAGGGACCGUGCCUAGCGGGUCGGUAUAAGUGGUCUAGUCUUGUUUCGCUUCAAUAAGUAGGUUUGUUUGGUGUGCUCAUCCUCGUAGCUCAAAUGGACACGUUCCGGAUCAAAGUUUAGCACCGACUCCGAUUUACCCGGAUUGUCCGUCCUACGGAGGGACCAUGUCUAUCGAGUCCGUACAAGUGCUCUAGUCUUGUUUCGCUUCGAUGAGUAGGUUUGUUUGGUGUGCUCAUCCUAGUACCUGAAAUGGACACGUUCCGGAACAAAGUUUAGCACCGACUCCGAUUUACCCGGAUUGUCCGUCCUACGGAGGGACCAUGCCUAUCGAGUCCGUACAAGUGGUCUAGUCUUGUUUCGCUUCGAUGAGUAGGUUUGUUUGGUGUGCUCAUCCUAGUACCUCAAAUGGACACGUUCCGGAACAAAGUUUAGCACCGACUCCGUAUUACCCGGAUUGUCCGUCCUAGGGAGGGACCAUGCCUAUCGAGUCCGUACAAGUGGUCUAGUCUUGUUUCGCUUCGAUGAGUAGGUUUGUUUGGUGUGCUCAUCCUAGUACCUCAAAUGGACACGUUCCGGAACAAAGUUUAGCACCGACUCCGAUUUACCCGGAUUGUCCGUCCUACGGAGGGACCAUGCCUAUCGAGUCCGUACAAGUGGUCUAGUCUUGUUUCGUUCGAUGAGUAGGUUUGUUUUGUGUGCUCAUCCUAGUACCUCAAAUGGACACGUUCCGGAACAAAGUUUAGCACCGACUCCGUAUUACCCGGAUUGUCCGUCCUAGGGACGGACCAUGCCUAGCGAGUCCGUACAAGUGGUCUAGUCUUGUUUCGCUUCGAUGAGUACGUUUGUUUGGUGUGCUCAUCCUAGUAGCUCAAAUGGACACGUUCCGGAUCAAAGUUUAGCACCGACUCUGAUUUGGCCGGCUUGUGCGUCCUAUCGAGGGACCAAGCGUAGCGAGUCCGUACAACUGGUCUACUCUUGUUUCGCUUCGAUGAGUAGGUUUGUUUGUUGAGCUCAUCGUAGUACCUCAAAUGGACACGUUCCGGAUCAAAGUUUAGCACCGACUCGGAUUUGGCCGGAUUGUCCGUCCUAGGGAGGGACCAUGCCUAGCGAGUCCGUACAAGUGGUCUAGUCUUGUUUCGCUUCGAUGUGUACGUUUGUUUUGUGUGCUCAUACUCGUAGCUCAAAUGGACACGUUCCGGAUCAAAGUUUAGCACCGACUCCGAUUUACCCGGAUUGUCCGUCCUACGGAGCGACCAUGCCUAUCGAGUCCGUACAAGUGGUCUAGUCUUGUUUCGCUUCGAUGAGUAGGUUUGUUUGGUGUGCUCAUCCUAGGACCUCAAAUGGACACGUUCCGGAUCAAAGUUUAGCACCGAGUCCGAUUUACCCUGAUUGUCCGUCCUAGCGAGGGACCAUGCCUAGCGAGUCCGUACAACUGGUCUGCUCUUGUUUCGCUUCGAUGAGUAGGUUUGUUUCGUGUGCUCAUCCUAGUACCUCAAAUGCACUCGUUCCGGAUCAAAUUUUACCACCGACUCGGAUUUGGCCAGAAUGUCCGUCCUUGGGAGGGACCAUGCCUAGCGAGUCCGUACAACUUGUCUCCUCUUGUUUCGCUUCGAUGAGUAGGGUUGUUUGGUGUGCUCAUCCUAGUACCUCAAAUGGACACGUUCCGGAUAAAAGUUUAGCACCGACUCCGAUUUGGCCGGAUUGUCCGUCGUAGUGAGGGACCGUGCCUAGCGGGUCCGUAUAAGUGGUCUAGUCUUGUUUCGCUUCAAUAAGUAGGUUUGUUUGGUGUGCUCAUCCUCGUAGCUCAAAUGGACACGUUCCGGAUCAAAGUUUAGCACCGACUCCGAUUUACCCGGAUUGUCCGUCCUACGGAGGGACCAUGUCUAUCGAGUCCGUACAAGUGGUCUAGUCUUGUUUCGCUUCGAUGAGUAGGUUUGUUUGGUGUGCUCAUCGUAGUACCUCAAAUGGACACGUUCCGGAACAAAGUUUAGCACCGACUCCGAUUUACCCGGAUUGUCCGUCCUACGGAGGGACCAUGCCUAUCGAGUCCGUACAAGUGGUCUAGUCUUGUUUCGCUUCGAUGAGUAGGUUUGUUUGGUGUGCUCAUCCUAGUACCUCAAAAGGACACGUUCCGGAACAAAGUUUAGCACUGACUCCGUAUUACCCGGAUUGUCCGUCCUAGGGACGGACCAUGCCUAGCGAGUCCGUACAAGUGGUCUAGUCUUGUUUCGCUUCGAUGAGUACGUUUGUUUGGUGUGCUCAUCCUAGUAGCUCAAAUGGACACGUUCCGGAUCAAAGUUUAGCACCGACUCUGAUUUGGCCGGAUUGUCCGUCCUAGCGAGGGACCAUGCCUAGCGAGUCCGUACAAGUGGUCUAGUCUUGUUUCGCUUCGAUGAGUAGGUUUGUUUGUUGUGCUCAUCCUAGUACCUCAAAUGGACACGUUCCGGAUCAAAGUUUAGCACCGACUCUGAUUUGGCCGGCUUGUCCGUCCUAGCGAGGGACCAUGCGUAGCGUGUCCGUACAACUGGUCUACUCUUGUUUCGCUUCGAUGAGUAGGUUUGUUUGUUGAGCUCAUCGUAGUACCUCAAAUGGACACGUUCCGGAUCAAAUUUUAGCACCGACUCGGAUUUGGCCGGAUUGUCCGUCCUAGGGAGGGACCAUGCCUAGCGAGUCCGUACAAGUGGUCUAGUCUUGUUUCCCUUCGAUGAGUACGUUUGUCUUGUGUGCUCAUCCUCGUAGCUCAAAUGGACACGUUCCGGAUCAAAGUUUAGCACGGACUCCGAUUUACCCGGAUUGUCCGUCCUACGGAGAGACCAUGCCUAUCGAGUCCGUACAAGUGGUCUAGUCUUGUUUCGCUUCGAUGAGUAGGUUUGUUUGGUGUGCUCAUCCUAGGACCUCAAAUGGACACGUUCCGGAUCAAAGUUUAGCACCGAGUCCGAUUUACCCUGAUUGUCCGUCCUAGCGAGGGACCAUGCCUAGCGAGUCCGUACAACUGGUCUGCUCUUGUUUCGCUUCGAUGAGUAGGUUUGUUUCGUGUGCUCAUCCUAGUACCUCAAAUGGACACGUUCCGGAUAAAAGUUUAGCACCGACUCCGAUUUGGCCGGAUUGUCCGUCGUAGUGAGGGACCGUGCCUAGCGGGUCCGUAUAAGUGGUCUAGUCUUGUUUCGCUUCAAUAAGUAGGUUUGUUUGGUGUGCUCAUCCUCGUAGCUCAAAUGGACACGUUCCGGAUCAAAGUUUAGCACCGACUCCGAUUUACCCGGAUUGUCCGUCCUACGGAGGGACCAUGUCUAUCGAGUCCGUACAAGUGGUCUAGUCUUGUUUCGCUUCGAUGAGUAGGUUUGUUUGGUGUGCUCAUCGUAGUACCUCAAAUGGACACGUUCCGGAACAAAGUUUAGCACCGACUCCGAUUUACCCGGAUUGUCCGUCCUACGGAGGGACCAUGCCUAUCGAGUCCGUACAAGUGGUCUAGUCUUGUUUCGCUUCGAUGAGUAGGUUUGUUUGGUGUGCUCAUCCUAGUACCUCAAAUGGACACGUUCCGGAACAAAGUUUAGCACCGACUCCGUAUUACCCGGAUUGUCCGUCCUAGGGACGGACCAUGCAUAGCGAGUCCGUACAAGUGGUCUAGUCUUGUUUCGCUUCGAUGAGUACGUUUGUUUGGUGUGCUCAUCCUAGUAGCUCAAAUGGACACGUUCCGGAACAAAGUUUAGCACCGACUCUGAUUUGGCCGGAUUGUCCGUCCUAGCGAGGGACCAUGCCUAGCGAGUCCGUACAAGUGGUCUAGUCUUGUUUCGCUUCGAUGAGUAGGUUUGUUUGGUGUGCUCAUCCUAGUACCUCAAAUGGACACGUUCCGGAUCAAAGUUUAGCACCGACUCCGAUUUGGCCGGCUUGUCCGUCCUUGCGAGGGACCAUGCGUAGCGUGUCCGUACAACUGGUCUACUCUUGUUUCGCUUCGAUGAGUAGGUUUGUUUGUUGAGCUCAUCGUAGUACCUCAAAUGGACACGUUCCGGAUCAAAUUUUAGCACCGACUCGGAUUUGGCCGGAUUGUCCGUCCUAGGGAGGGACCAUGCCUAGCGAGUCCGUACAAGUGGUCUAGUCUUGUUUCGCUUCGAUGAGUACGUUUGUCUUGUGUGCUCAUCCUCGUAGCUCAAAUGGACACGUUCCGUAUCAAAGUUUAGCACCGACUCCGAUUUACCCGGAUUGUCCGUCCUACGGAGAGACCAUGCCUAUCGAGUCCGUACAAUUGGUCUAGUCUUGUUUCGCUUCGAUGAGUGGGUUUGUUUGGUGUGCUCAUCCUAGGACCUCAAAUGGACACGUUCCGGAUCAAAGUUUAGCACCGAGUCCGAUUUACCCUGAUUGUCCGUCCUAGCGAGGGACCAUGCCUAGCGAGUCCGUACAACUGGUCUGCUCUUGUUUCGCUUCGAUGAGUAGGUUUGUUUCGUGUGCUCAUCCUAGUACCUCAAAUGCACACGUUCCGGAUCAAAUUUUACCACCGACUCGGAUUUGGCCAGAAUGUCCGUCCUUGGGAGGGACCAUGCCUAGCGAGUCCGUACAACUUGUCUACUCUUGUUUCGCUUCGAUGAGUAGGCUUGUUUGGUGUGCUCAUCCUAGUACCUCAAAUGGACACGUUCCGGAUAAAAGUUUAGCACCGACUCCGAUUUGGCCGGAUUGUCCGUCGUAGUGAGGGACCGUGCCUAGCGGGUCCGUACAAGUGGUCUAGUCUUGUUUCGCUUCGAUGAGUACGUUUGUUUGGUGUGAUCAUCCUAGUAGCUCAAAUGGACACGUUCCGGAUCAAAGUUUAGCACCGACUCUGAUUUGGCCGGAUUGUCCGUCCUACGGAGGGACCAUGUCUAUCGAGUCCGUACAAGUGCUCUAGUCUUGUUUCGCUUCGAUGAGUAGGUUUGUUUGGUGUGCUCAUCCUAGUAGCUCAAAUGGACACGUUCCGGAACAAAGUUUAGCACCGACUCCGAUUUACCCGGAUUGUCCGUCCUACGGAGGGACCAUGCCUAUCGAGUCCGUACAAGUGGUCUAGUCUUGUUUCGCUUCAAUAAGUAGGUUUGUUCUGUGUGCUCAUCCUCGUAGCUCAAAUGGACACGUUCCGGAUCAAAGUUUAGCACCGACUCCGAUUUACUCGGAUUGUCCGUCCUACGGAGGGACCAUGUCUAUCAAGUCCGUACAAGUGCUCUAGUCUUGUUUCGCUUCGAUGAGUAGGUUUGUUUGGUGUGCUCAUCCUAGUACCUCAAAUGGACACGUUCCGGAACAAAGUUUAGCACCGACUGCGAUUUACCCGGAUUGUCCGUCCUACGGAGGGACCAUGCCUAUCGAGUCCGUACAAGUGGUCUAGUCUUGUUUCGCUUCGAUGAGUAGGUUUGUUUGGUGUGCUCAUCCUAGUACCUCAAAUGGACACGUUCCGGAACAAAGUUUAGCACCGACUCCGUAUUACCCGGAUUGUCCGUCCUAGGGACGGACCAUGCCUAGCGAGUCCGUACAAGUGGUCUAGUCUUGUUUCGCUUCGAUGAGUACGUUUGUUUGGUGUGAUCAUCCUAGUAGCUCAAAUGGACACGUUCCGGAUCAAAGUUUAGCACCGACUCUGAUUUGGCCGGAUUGUCCGUCCUAGCGAGGGACCAUGCCUAGCGAGUCCGUACAAGUGGUCUAGUCUUGUUUCGCUUCGAUGAGUAGGUUUGUUUGGUGUGCUCAUCCUAGUACCUCAAAUGGACACGUUCCGGAACAAAGUUUAGCACCGACUCCGUAUUACCCGGAUUGUCCGUCCUAGGGACGGACCAUGCCUAGCGAGUCCGUACAAGUGGUCUAGUCUUGUUUCGCUUCGAUGAGUACGUUUGUCUUGUGUGCUCAUCCUCGUAGCUCAAAUGGACACGUUCCGGAUCAAAGUUUAGCACCGACUCCGAUUUACCCGGAUUGUCCGUCCUACGGAGAGACCAUGCCUAUCGAGUCCGUACAAUUGGUCUAGUCUUGUUUCGCUUCGAUGAGUGGGUUUGUUUGGUGUGCUCAUCCUAGGACCUCAAAUGGACACGUUCCGGAUCAAAGUUUAGCACCGACUCCGAUUUACCCGGAUUGUCCGUCCUACGGAGGGACCAUGUCUAUCGAGUCCGUACAAGUGCUCUAGUCUUGUUUCGCUUCGAUGAGUAGGUUUGUUUGGUGUGCUCAUCCUAGUACCUCAAAUGGACACGUUCCGGAACAAAGUUUAGCACCGACUCCGAUUUACCCGGAUUGUCCGUCCUACGGAGGGACCAUGCCUAUCGAGUCCGUACAAGUGGUCUAGUCUUGUUUCGCUUCGAUGAGUAGGUUUGUUUGGUGUGCUCAUCGUAGUACCUCAAAUGGACACGUUCCGGAACAAAGUUUAGCACCGACUCCGAUUUACCCGGAUUGUCCGUCCUACGGAGGGACCAUGCCUAUCGAGUCCGUACAAGUGGUCUAGUCUUGUUUCGCUUCGAUGAGUAGGUUUGUUUGGUGUGCUCAUCCUAGUACCUCAAAUGGACACGUUCCGGAACAAAGUUUAGCACCGACUCCGUAUUACCCGGAUUGUCCGUCCUAGGGACGGACCAUGCAUAGCGAGUCCGUACAAGUGGUCUAGUCUUGUUUCGCUUCGAUGAGUACGUUUGUUUGGUGUGCUCAUCCUAGUAGCUCAAAUGGACACGUUCCGGAACAAAGUUUAGCACCGACUCUGAUUUGGCCGGAUUGUCCGUCCUAGCGAGGGACCAUGCCUAGCGAGUCCGUACAAGUGGUCUAGUCUUGUUUCGCUUCGAUGAGUAGGUUUGUUUGGUGUGCUCAUUCUAGUACCUCAAAUGGACACGUUCCGGAUAAAAGUUUAGCACCGACUCCGAUUUGGCCGGAUUGUCCGUCGUAGUGAGGGACCGUGCCUAGCGGGUCCGUAUAAGUGGUCUAGUCUUGUUUCGCUUCAAUAAGUAGGUUUGUUUGGUGUGCUCAUCCUCGUAGCUCAAAUGGACACGUUCCGGAUCAAAGUUUAGCACCGACUCCGAUUUACCCGGAUUGUCCGUCCUACGGAGGGACCAUGUCUAUCGAGUCCGUACAAGUGGUCUAGUCUUGUUUCGCUUCGAUGAGUAGGUUUGUUUGGUGUGCUCAUCGUAGUACCUCAAAUGGACACGUUCCGGAACAAAGUUUAGCACCGACUCCGAUUUACCCGGAUUGUCCGUCCUACGGAGGGACCAUGCCUAUCGAGUCCGUACAAGUGGUCUAGUCUUGUUUCGCUUCGAUGAGUAGGUUUGUUUGGUGUGCUCAUCCUAGUACCUCAAAAGGACACGUUCCGGAACAAAGUUUAGCACUGACUCCGUAUUACCCGGAUUGUCCGUCCUAGGGACGGACCAUGCCUAGCGAGUCCGUACAAGUGGUCUAGUCUUGUUUCGCUUCGAUGAGUACGUUUGUUUGGUGUGCUCAUCCUAGUAGCUCAAAUGGACACGUUCCGGAUCAAAGUUUAGCACCGACUCUGAUUUGGCCGGAUUGUCCGUCCUAGCGAGGGACCAUGCCUAGCGAGUCCGUACAAGUGGUCUAGUCUUGUUUCGCUUCGAUGAGUAGGUUUGUUUGUUGUGCUCAUCCUAGUACCUCAAAUGGACACGUUCCGGAUCAAAGUUUAGCACCGACUCUGAUUUGGCCGGCUUGUCCGUCCUAGCGAGGGACCAUGCGUAGCGUGUCCGUACAACUGGUCUACUCUUGUUUCGCUUCGAUGAGUAGGUUUGUUUGUUGAGCUCAUCGUAGUACCUCAAAUGGACACGUUCCGGAUCAAAUUUUAGCACCGACUCGGAUUUGGCCGGAUUGUCCGUCCUAGGGAGGGACCAUGCCUAGCGAGUCCGUACAAGUGGUCUAGUCUUGUUUCGCUUCGAUGAGUACGUUUGUCUUGUGUGCUCAUCCUCGUAGCUCAAAUGGACACGUUCCGGAUCAAAGUUUAGCACCGACUCCGAUUUACCCGGAUUGUCCGUCCUACGGAGAGACCAUGCCUAUCGAGUCCGUACAAGUGGUCUAGUCUUGUUUCGCUUCGAUGAGUAGGUUUGUUUGGUGUGCUCAUCCUAGGACCUCAAAUGGACACGUUCCGGAUCAAAGUUUAGCACCGACUCCGAUUUACCCGGAUUGUCCGUCCUACGGAGAGACCAUGCCUAUCGAGUCCGUACAAUUGGUCUAGUCUUGUUUCGCUUCGAUGAGUGGGUUUGUUUGGUGUGCUCAUCCUAGGACCUCAAAUGGACACGUUCCGGAUCAAAGUUUAGCACCGAGUCCGAUUUACCCUGAUUGUCCGUCCUAGCGAGGGACCAUGCCUAGCGAGUCCGUACAACUGGUCUGCUCUUGUUUCGCUUCGAUGAGUAGGUUUGUUUCGUGUGCUCAUCCUAGUACCUCAAAUGCACACGUUCCGGAUCAAAUUUUACCACCGACUCGGAUUUGGCCAGAAUGUCCGUCCUUGGGAGGGACCAUGCCUAGCGAGUCCGUACAACUUGUCUACUCUUGUUUCGCUUCGAUGAGUAGGCUUGUUUGGUGUGCUCAUCCUAGUACCUCAAAUGGACACGUUCCGGAUAAAAGUUUAGCACCGACUCCGAUUUGGCCGGAUUGUCCGUCGUAGUGAGGGACCGUGCCUAGCGGGUCCGUACAAGUGGUCUAGUCUUGUUUCGCUUCGAUGAGUACGUUUGUUUGGUGUGAUCAUCCUAGUAGCUCAAAUGGACACGUUCCGGAUCAAAGUUUAGCACCGACUCUGAUUUGGCCGGAUUGUCCGUCCUACGGAGGGACCAUGUCUAUCGAGUCCGUACAAGUGCUCUAGUCUUGUUUCGCUUCGAUGAGUAGGUUUGUUUGGUGUGCUCAUCCUAGUAGCUCAAAUGGACACGUUCCGGAACAAAGUUUAGCACCGACUCCGAUUUACCCGGAUUGUCCGUCCUACGGAGGGACCAUGCCUAUCGAGUCCGUACAAGUGGUCUAGUCUUGUUUCGCUUCAAUAAGUAGGUUUGUUCUGUGUGCUCAUCCUCGUAGCUCAAAUGGACACGUUCCGGAUCAAAGUUUAGCACCGACUCCGAUUUACUCGGAUUGUCCGUCCUACGGAGGGACCAUGUCUAUCAAGUCCGUACAAGUGCUCUAGUCUUGUUUCGCUUCGAUGAGUAGGUUUGUUUGGUGUGCUCAUCCUAGUACCUCAAAUGGACACGUUCCGGAACAAAGUUUAGCACCGACUGCGAUUUACCCGGAUUGUCCGUCCUACGGAGGGACCAUGCCUAUCGAGUCCGUACAAGUGGUCUAGUCUUGUUUCGCUUCGAUGAGUAGGUUUGUUUGGUGUGCUCAUCCUAGUACCUCAAAUGGACACGUUCCGGAACAAAGUUUAGCACCGACUCCGAUUUACCCGGAUUGUCCGUCCUACGGAGGGACCAUGCCUAUCGAGUCCGUACAAGUGGUCUAGUCUUGUUUCGCUUCGAUGAGUAGGUUUGUUUGGUGUGCUCAUCCUAGUACCUCAAAUGGACACGUUCCGGAACAAAGUUUAGCACCGACUCCGAUUUACCCGGAUUGUCCGUCCUACGGAGGGACCAUGCCUAUCGAGUCCGUACAAGUGGUCUAGUCUUGUUUCGCUUCGAUGAGUAGGUUUGUUUGGUGUGCUCAUCCUAGUACCUCAUAUGGACACGUUCCGGAUCAAAGUUUAGCACCGACUCUGAUUUGGCCGGAUUGUCCGUCCUAGCGAGGGACCAUGCCUAGCGAGUCCGUACAAGUGGUCUAGUCUUGUUUCGCUUCGAUGAGUAGGUUUGUUUGGUGUGCUCAUCCUAGUACCUCAAAUGGACACGUUCCGGAACAAAGUUUAGCACCGACUCCGUAUUACCCGGAUUGUCCGUCCUAGGGACGGACCAUGCCUAGCGAGUCCGUACAAGUGGUCUAGUCUUGUUUCGCUUCGAUGAGUAGGUUUGUUUGGUGUGCUCAUCCUAGUACCUCAAAUGGACACGUUCCGGAUCAAAGUUUAGCACCGACUCUGAUUUGGCCGGCUUGUCCGUCGUUGCGAGGGACCAUGCGUAGCGUGUCCGUACAACUGGUCUACUCUUGUUUCGCUUCGAUGAGUAGGUUUGUUUGUUGAGCUCAUCGUAGUACCUCAUAUGGACACGUACCGGAUCAAAUUUUAGCACCGACUCGGAUUUGGCCGGAUUGUCCGUCCUAGGGAGGGACCAUGCCUAGCGAGUCCGUACAAGUGGUCUAGUCUUGUUUCGCUUCGAUGAGUACGUUUGUCUUGUGUGCUCAUCCUCGUAGCUCAAAUGGACACGUUCCGGAUCAAAGUUUAGCACCGACUCCGAUUUACCCGGAUUGUCCGUCCUACGGAGAGACCAUGCCUAUCGAGUCCGUACAAUUGGUCUAGUCUUGUUUCGCUUCGAUGAGUGGGUUUGUUUGGUGUGCUCAUCCUAGGACCUCAAAUGGACACGUUCCGGAUCAAAGUUUAGCACCGACUCCGAUUUACUCGGAUUGUCCGUCCUACGGAGGGACCAUGUCUAUCAAGUCCGUACAAGUGCUCUAGUCUUGUUUCGCUUCGAUGAGUAGGUUUGUUUGGUGUGCUCAUCCUAGUACCUCAAAUGGACACGUUCCGGAACAAAGUUUAGCACCGACUGCGAUUUACCCGGAUUGUCCGUCCUACGGAGGGACCAUGCCUAUCGAGUCCGUACAAGUGGUCUAGUCUUGUUUCGCUUCGAUGAGUAGGUUUGUUUGGUGUGCUCAUCCUAGUACCUCAAAUGGACACGUUCCGGAACAAAGUUUAGCACCGACUCCGUAUUACCCGGAUUGUCCGUCCUAGGGACGGACCAUGCCUAGCGAGUCCGUACAAGUGGUCUAGUCUUGUUUCGCUUCGAUGAGUACGUUUGUUUGGUGUGAUCAUCCUAGUAGCUCAAAUGGACACGUUCCGGAUCAAAGUUUAGCACCGACUCUGAUUUGGCCGGAUUGUCCGUCCUAGCGAGGGACCAUGCCUAGCGAGUCCGUACAAGUGGUCUAGUCUUGUUUCGCUUCGAUGAGUAGGUUUGUUUGGUGUGCUCAUCCUAGUACCUCAAAUGGACACGUUCCGGAACAAAGUUUAGCACCGACUCCGUAUUACCCGGAUUGUCCGUCCUAGGGACGGACCAUGCCUAGCGAGUCCGUACAAGUGGUCUAGUCUUGUUUCGCUUCGAUGAGUAGGUUUGUUUGGUGUGCUCAUCCUAGUACCUCAAAUGGACACGUUCCGGAUCAAAGUUUAGCACCGACUCUGAUUUGGCCGGCUUGUCCGUCGUUGCGAGGGACCAUGCGUAGCUUGUCCGUACAACUGGUCUACUCUUGUUUCGCUUCGAUGAGUAGGUUUGUUUGUUGAGCUCAUCGUAGUACCUCAUAUGGACACGUACCGGAUCAAAUUUUAGCACCGACUCGGAUUUGGCCGGAUUGUCCGUCCUAGGGAGGGACCAUGCCUAGCGAGUCCGUACAAGUGGUCUAGUCUUGUUUCGCUUCGAUGAGUACGUUUGUCUUGUGUGCUCAUCCUCGUAGCUCAAAUGGACACGUUCCGGAUCAAAGUUUAGCACCGACUCCGAUUUACCCGGAUUGUCCGUCCUACGGAGAGACCAUGCCUAUCGAGUCCGUACAAUUGGUCUAGUCUUGUUUCGCUUCGAUGAGUGGGUUUGUUUGGUGUGCUCAUCCUAGGACCUCAAAUGGACACGUUCCGGAUCAAAGUUUAGCACCGAGUCCGAUUUACCCUGAUUGUCCGUCCUAGCGAGGGACCAUGCCUAGCGAGUCCGUACAACUGGUCUGCUCUUGUUUCGCUUCGAUGAGUAGGUUUUUUUCGUGAGCUCAUCCUAGUACCUCAAAUGCACACGUUCCGGAUCAAAUUUUACCACCGACUCGGAUUUGGCCACAAUGUCCGUCCUUGGGAGGGACCAUGCCUAGCGAGUCCGUACAACUUGUCUCCUCUUGUUUCGCUUCGAUGAGUAGGUUUGUUUGGUGUGCUCAUCCUAGUACCUCAAAUGGACACGUUCCGGAUAAAAGUUUAGCACCGACUCCGAUUUGGCCGGAUUGUCCGUCGUAGUGAGGGACCGUGCCUAGCGGGUCUGUACAAGUGGUCUAGUCUUGUUUCGCUUCAAUAAGUAGGUUUGUUUGGUGUGCUCAUCCUCGUAGCUCAAAUGGACACGUUCCGGAUCAAAGUUUAGCACCGACUCCGAUUUACCCGGAUUGUCCGUCCUACGGAGGGACCAUGUCUAUCGAGUCCGUACAAGUGCUCUAGUCUUGUUUCGCUUCGAUGAGUAGGUUUGUUUGGUGUGCUCAUCCUAGUACCUCAAAUGGACACGUUCCGGAACAAAGUUUAGCACCGACUCCGAUUUACCCGGAUUGUCCGUCCUACGGAGGGACCAUGCCUAUCGAGUCCGUACAAGUGGUCUAGUCUUGUUUCGCUUCGAUGAGUAGGUUUGUUUGGUGUGCUCAUCCUAGUACCUCAAAUGGACACGUUCCGGAAGAAAGUUUAGCACCGACUCCGUAUUACCCGGAUUGUCCGUCCUAGGGACGGACCAUGCAUAGCGAGUCCGUACAAGUGGUCUAGUCUUGUUUCGCUUCGAUGAGUACGUUUGUUUGGUGUGCUCAUCCUAGUAGCUCAAAUGGACACGUUCCGGAACAAAGUUUAGCACCGACUCUGAUUUGGCCGGAUUGUCCGUCCUAGUGAGGGACCAUGCCUAGCGAGUCCGUACAAGUGGUCUAUUCUUGUUUCGCUUCAAUAAGUAGGUUUGUUUGGUGUGCUCAUCCUAGUACCUCAAAUGGACACGUUCCGGAUCAAAGUUUAGCACCGACUCCGAUUCACCCGGAUUGUCCGUCCUAGGGAGGGACCAUGCCUAGCGAGUCCGUACAAGUGGUCUAGUCUUGUUUCGCUUCGAUGAGUAGGUUUGUUUGCUGUGCUCCUCCUAGUACCACAAAUGGACACGUUCCGGAACAAAGUUUAGCACCGAGUCCGAUUUACCCUGAUUGUCCGUCCUAGCGAGGGACCAUGCCUAGCGAGUCCGUAAAACUGGUCUACUCUUGUUUCGCUUCGAUGAGUAGGUUUGUUUGGUGUGCUCAUCCUAGUACCUCAAAGGGACACGUUCGGGAUCAAACUUUAGCACCGACUCGGAUUUGGCCGGAAUGUCCGUCCUUGGGAGGGACCAUGCCUAGCGAGUCCGUACAACUGGUCUACUCUUGUUUCGCUUCGAUGAGUAGGUUUGUUUCGUGUGCUCAUCCUAGUACCUCAAAUGGACACGUUCCGGAUCAAAGUUUAGCACCGACUCCGAUUCACCCGGAUUGUCCGUCGUAGUGAGGGACCAUGCGUAGCGAGUCCGUACAAGUGGUCUAGUCUUGUUUCGCUUCGAUCAAUUGGUUUGUUAGGUGUGCUCAUCGUAGUACCUCAGAUAGACACGUUCCGGAACAAAGUUUAGCACCGACUCCGAUUUUGCCGGAUUGUCCGUCCUAGUGAGGGACCAAUCCUACCGAGUCCGUACAAGUGGUCUAUUCUUGUUUCGCUUCAAUAAGUAGGUUUGUUUGGUGUGCUCAUCCUAAUACCUCAAAUGGACACGUUCGGGAUCAAACUUUAGCACCGACUCCGAUUUGGCUGGAUUGUCCGUCGUAGUGAGGGACCAUGCCUAGCGGGUCCGUAUAAGUGCUCUAGUCUUGUUUCGCUUCAAUAAGUAGGUUUGUUUGGUGUGCUCAUCCUAGUACCACAAAUGGACACGUUCCGGAACAAAGUUUAGCACCGAGUCCAAUUUACCCUGAUUGUCCGUCCUAGCGAGGGACCAUGCCUAGCGAGUCCGUACAACUGGUCUACUCUUGUUUCGCUUCGAUGAGUAGGUUUGUUUCGUGUGCUCAUCCUAAUACCUCAAAUGCACACGUUCCGGAUCAAAUUUUAGCACCGACUCGGAUUUGGCCGGAAUGUCCGUCCUAGUGAGGGACCAUGCCUAGCGAGUCCGUACAAGUGGUCCAGUCUUGUUUCGCUUCGAUGAGUAGGUUUGUUUGGUGUGCUCAUCCUACUACCUCAAAUGGACACAUUCGGGAUCAAAGUUUAGCACCGACUCUGAUUUGGACGGCUUGUCCGUCCUAGCGAGGGACCAUGCCUAGCGAGUCCGUACAACUGGUCUACUCUUGUUUCGCUUCGAUGAGUAGGUUUGUUUGGUGUGCUCAUCCUAGUACCUCAAAUGGACACGUUCCGGAUCAAAGUUUAGCACCGACUCCGAUUUACCCGGAUUGUCCGUCCUAGUGAGGGACCAUGCCUAGCGAGUCCGUACGAUUGGUCUAGUCUUGUUUCGCUUCGAUGAGUAGGUUUGUUUGUUGAGCUCAUCGUAGUACCUCAAAUGGACACGUUCCGGAUCAAAUUUUAGCACCGACUCGGGUUUGGCCGGAUUGUCCGUCCUAGGGAGGGACCAUGCCUAGCGAGUCCGUACAAGUGGUCUAGUCUUGUUUCGCUUCGAUGAGUACGUUUGUUUGGUGUGCUCAUCCUAGUAGAUCAAAGGGACACGUUCCGGAUCAAAGUCAGCACCGACUCUGAUUUGGCCGGAUUGUCCGUCCUAGCGAGUCUGUAUAAGUGGUCUAGUCUUGUUUCGCUUGCAUCAGUAGGUUUGUUUGUUGUGCUCAUCCCAGUAGCUCAAAUGGACACGUUCCGGAUCAAAGUUUAGCACCGACUCUGAUUUUGCCGGAUUGUCCGUCCUAGUGAGGGACCAUGCCUAGCGAGUCCGUACAAGUGGUCUAGUCUUGUUUUGCUUCGAUGAGUAGGUUUGUUUGGUGUGCUCAUCCUAGUUCCUCAAAUGGACACGUUCCGGAUCAAAGUUUUGAACAGACUCGGAUUUGGCCGACUUGGCCGUCCUAGCGAGGGACCAUGCCUAGCAAGUCCGUACAAGUGGUCUACUCAUGUUUCGCUUCGAUGAGUAGGUUUGUUUGGUGUGCUCAUCCUAGUACCACAAAUGGACACGUUCCGGAACAAAGUUUAGCACCGAGUCCGAUUUACCCUGAUUGUUCGUCCUAGCGAGGGACCAUGCCUACCGAGUCCGUACAACUGGUCUACUCUUGUUUCGCUUCGAUGAGUAGUUUUGUUUGGUGUGCUCAUCCUAGUACCUCAAAGGGACACGUUCCGGAUCAAAGUUUAGCACCGACUCCGAUUCACCCGGAUUGUCCGUCCUAGUGAGGGACCAUGCCUAGCGAGUCCGUACAAGUGGUCUAGUCUUGUUUCGCUUCGAUCAAUUGGUUUGUUAGGUGUGCUCAUCGUAGUACCUCAGAUAGACACGUUCCGGAACAAACUUUAGCACCGACUCCGAUUUUGCCGGAUUGUCCGUCCUAGUGAGGGACCAUGCCUAGCGAGUCCGUACAAGUGGUCUAUUCUUGUUUCGCUUCAAUAAGUAGGUUUGUUUGGUGUGCUCAUCCUAAUACCUCAAAUGGACACGUUCGGGAUCAAAGUUUAGCACCGACUCCGAUUUGGCCGGAUUGUCCGUCGUAGUGAGGGACCGUGCCUAGCGGGUCCUUAUAAGUGGUCUAGUCUUGUUUCGCUUCAAUAAGUAGGUUUGUUAGGUGUGCUCAUCCUCGUAGCUCAAAUGGACACGUUCCGGAUCAAAGUUUAGCACCGACUCCGAUUUACCCGGAUUGUCCGUCCUACGGUGGGACCAUGCCUAUCGAGUCCGUACAAGUGGUCUAGUCUUGUUUCGCUUCGAUGAAUAGGUUUGUUUGGUGUCCUCAUCCUACUACCUCAAAUGGACACGUUCCGGAUCAAAGUUUAGCACCGACUCUGAUUUGGCCGGAUUGUCCGUCCUAGCGAGGGACCCUGCCUAGCGAGUCCGUACAAGUGGUCUAGUCUUGUUUCGCUUCGAUGAGUACGUUUGUUUGGUGUGCUCACCUAGUAGCUCAAAUGGAAACGUUCCGGAUCACAGUUUAGCACCGACUCCGAUUUUGCCGGAUUGUCCGUCCUAGUGAGGGACCAUGCCUAGCGAGUCCGUACAAGUGGUCUAAUCUUGUUUCGCUUCGAUAAGUAGGUUUGUUUGGUGUGCUCAUUCUAGUACCUCAAAUGCAGACGUUCCGGAUCAAAGUUUAGCACCGACUCUGAUUUGGCCGGAUUGUGCGUCCUAGUGAGGGACCAUGCCUAGCGAGUCCGUACAAGUGGUCUAGUCUUGUUUCCCUUCGAUGAGUAGGUUUGUUUGGUGUGCUCAUCCUAGUUCCUCAAAUGGACAGGUUCCGGAUCAAAGUUUAGCACCGACUCCGAUUUACACUGAUUGUCUGUCCUAGCGAGGGACCAAGCCUAGCGAGUCCGUACAACUGGUCUACUCUUGUUUCGCUUCGAUGAGUAGGUUUGUUUGGUGUGCUCAUCCUAGUUCCUCAAAUGGACAGGUUCCGGAUCAAAGUUUAGCACCGACUCCGAUUUACACUGAUUGUCUGUCCUAGCGAGGGACCAAGCCUAGCGAGUCCGUACAACUGGUCUACUCUUGUUUCGCUUCGAUGAGUAGGUUUGUUUGGUGUGCUCAUCCUAGUACCUCAAAUGGACACGUUCCGGAUCAAAGUUUAGCACCGACUCUGAUUUGGCCGGAUUGUCCGUCGUAGAAAGGGACCAUGCCUAGCGAGUCCGUACAAGUGGUCUAGUCUUGUUUCACUUCGAUGAGUAGGUUUGUUUGGUGUGCUCAUUCCAGUACCUGAAAUGGACACGUUGCGGAUCAAAGUUUAGCACCAACUCUGAUUUGGCCGGCUUGUCCAUCCUAGCGAGGGACCAUGCCUAGCGAGUCCGUACAACUGGUCUACUCUUGUUUCGCUUCGAUGAGUAGGUUUGUUUGGUGUGCUCAUCCUAGUACCUCAAAUGGACACGUUCCGGAUCAAAGUUUAGCACCGACUCCGAUUCACCCGGCUUGUCCGUCCUAGUGAGGGACCAUGCCUAGCGAGUCCGUACAAGUGGUCUAGUCUUGUUUCGCUUCGAUGAGUAGUUUUGUUUGGUGUGCUCAUCCUAGUACCACAAAUGGACACGUUCCGGAACAAAGUUUAGCACCGAGUCCGAUUUACCCUGAUUGUCCGUCAUAGCGAGGGACCAUGCCUAGCGAGUCCGUACAACUGGUCUACUCUUGUUUCGCUUCGAUGAGUAGGUUUGUUUGGUGUGCUCAUCCUAGUACCUCAAAUGGACACGUUCCGGAUCAAAGUUUAGCACCGACUCCGAUUCACCCGGAUUGUCCGUCCUAGUGAGGGACCAUGCCUAGCGAGUCCGUACAAGUUGUCUAGUCUUCUUUCGCUUCGAUCAAUUGGUUUGUUAGGUGUGCUCAUCGUAGUACCUCAGAUAGACACGUUCCGGAACAAAGUUUAGCACCGACUCCGAUUUUGCCGGAUUGUCCGUCCUAGUGAGGGACCAUGCCUAGCGAGUCCGUACAAGUGGUCUAUUCUUGUUUCGCUUCAAUAAGUAGGUUUGUUUGGUGUGCUCAUCCUAGUACCUCAAAUGGACACGUUCCGGAUCAAAGUUUAGCACCGACUCCGAUUCACCCGGAUUGUCCGUCCUAGGGAGGGACCAUGCCUAGCGAGUCCGUACAAGUGGUCUAGUCUUGUUUCGCUUCGAUGAGUAGGUUUGUUUGCUGUGCUCCUCCUAGUACCACAAAUGGACACGUUCCGGAACAAAGUUUAGCACCGAGUCCGAUUUACCCUGAUUGUCCGUCCUAGCGAGGGACCAUGCCUAGCGAGUCCGUAAAACUGGUCUACUCUUGUUUCGCUUCGAUGAGUAGGUUUGUUUGGUGUGCUCAUCCUAGUACCUCAAAGGGACACGUUCGGGAUCAAACUUUAGCACCGACUCGGAUUUGGCCGGAAUGUCCGUCCUUGGGAGGGACCAUGCCUAGCGAGUCCGUACAACUGGUCUACUCUUGUUUCGCUUCGAUGAGUAGGUUUGUUUCGUGUGCUCAUCCUAGUACCUCAAAUGGACACGUUCCGGAUCAAAGUUUAGCACCGACUCCGAUUCACCCGGAUUGUCCGUCGUAGUGAGGGACCAUGCGUAGCGAGUCCGUACAAGUGGUCUAGUCUUGUUUCGCUUCGAUCAAUUGGUUUGUUAGGUGUGCUCAUCGUAGUACCUCAGAUAGACACGUUCCGGAACAAAGUUUAGCACCGACUCCGAUUUUGCCGGAUUGUCCGUCCUAGUGAGGGACCAAUCCUACCGAGUCCGUACAAGUGGUCUAUUCUUGUUUCGCUUCAAUAAGUAGGUUUGUUUGGUGUGCUCAUCCUAAUACCUCAAAUGGACACGUUCGGGAUCAAACUUUAGCACCGACUCCGAUUUGGCUGGAUUGUCCGUCGUAGUGAGGGACCAUGCCUAGCGGGUCCGUAUAAGUGCUCUAGUCUUGUUUCGCUUCAAUAAGUAGGUUUGUUUGGUGUGCUCAUCCUAGUACCACAAAUGGACACGUUCCGGAACAAAGUUUAGCACCGAGUCCAAUUUACCCUGAUUGUCCGUCCUAGCGAGGGACCAUGCCUAGCGAGUCCGUACAACUGGUCUACUCUUGUUUCGCUUCGAUGAGUAGGUUUGUUUCGUGUGCUCAUCCUAAUACCUCAAAUGCACACGUUCCGGAUCAAAUUUUAGCACCGACUCGGAUUUGGCCGGAAUGUCCGUCCUAGUGAGGGACCAUGCCUAGCGAGUCCGUACAAGUGGUCCAGUCUUGUUUCGCUUCGAUGAGUAGGUUUGUUUGGUGUGCUCAUCCUACUACCUCAAAUGGACACAUUCGGGAUCAAAGUUUAGCACCGACUCUGAUUUGGACGGCUUGUCCGUCCUAGCGAGGGACCAUGCCUAGCGAGUCCGUACAACUGGUCUACUCUUGUUUCGCUUCGAUGAGUAGGUUUGUUUGGUGUGCUCAUCCUAGUACCUAAAAUGGACACGUUCCGGAUCAAAGUUUAGCACCGACUCCGAUUUACCCGGAUUGUCCGUCCUAGUGAGGGACCAUGCCUAGCGAGUCCGUACGAUUGGUCUAGUCUUGUUUCGCUUCGAUGAGUAGGUUUGUUUGUUGAGCUCAUCGUAGUACCUCAAAUGGACACGUUCCGGAUCAAAUUUUAGCACCGACUCGGGUUUGGCCGGAUUGUCCGUCCUAGGGAGGGACCAUGCCUAGCGAGUCCGUACAAGUGGUCUAGUCUUGUUUCGCUUCGAUGAGUACGUUUGUUUGGUGUGCUCAUCCUAGUAGAUCAAAGGGACACGUUCCGGAUCAAAGUCAGCACCGACUCUGAUUUGGCCGGAUUGUCCGUCCUAGCGAGUCUGUAUAAGUGGUCUAGUCUUGUUUCGCUUGCAUCAGUAGGUUUGUUUGUUGUGCUCAUCCCAGUAGCUCAAAUGGACACGUUCCGGAUCAAAGUUUAGCACCGACUCUGAUUUUGCCGGAUUGUCCGUCCUAGUGAGGGACCAUGCCUAGCGAGUCCGUACAAGUGGUCUAGUCUUGUUUUGCUUCGAUGAGUAGGUUUGUUUGGUGUGCUCAUCCUAGUUCCUCAAAUGGACACGUUCCGGAUCAAAGUUUUGAACAGACUCGGAUUUGGCCGACUUGGCCGUCCUAGCGAGGGACCAUGCCUAGCAAGUCCGUACAAGUGGUCUACUCAUGUUUCGCUUCGAUGUGUAGCUUUGUUUUGUGUGCUCAUCCUAGUAUCUCAAAUGGACACGUUCCGUAUCGAAGUUUAGCACCGACUCCGAUUUAGCCGGAUUGUCCAUCCUAGGGAGGGACCAUGCCUAGCGAGUCCGUACAAGUGGUCUACUCUUGUUUCGCUUCGAUGAGUAGCUUUGUUUUGUGUGCUCAUCCGAGGACCUCAAAUGGACACGUUCCGGAUCAAAGUUUAGCACCGACUCCGAUUUACCCGGAUUGUCCGUCCUAGCGAGGCACCAUGCCUAGCGAGUCCGUACAACUGGUCUACUCUUGUUUCGCUUCGAUGAGUUGGUUUGCUUGGUGUGCUCAUCCUAGUACCUCAAAUGGACACGUUCCGGAACAAAGUUUAGCGCCGACUCCGAUUUUGCCGGAUUGUCCGUCUUAGGGAGGGACCAUGCCUAGCGAGUCCGUACAAGUGGUCUAAUCUUGUUUCGCAUCGAUAGGUAGGUUUGUUUGGUGUGCUCAUCCUAGUUCCUCAAAUGGACAGGUUCCAGAUCAAAGUUUAGCACCGACUCCGAUUUACACUGAUUGUCUGUCCUAGCGAGGGACCAUGCCUAGCGAGUCCGUACAACUGGUCUACUCUUGUUUCGCUUCGAUGAGUAGGUUUGUUUGGUGUGCUCAUCCUAGUACCUCAAAUGGACACGUUCCGGAUCAAAGUUUAGCACCGAGUCCGAUUUACCCUGAUUGUCCGUCCUAGCGAGGGACCAUGCCUAGCGAGUCCGUACAACUGGUCUACUCUUGUUUCGCUUCGAUGAGUAGGUUUGUUUCGUGUGCUCAUCCUAGUACCUCAAAUGCACACGUUCCGGAUCAAAUUUUAGCACCGACUCGGAUUUGGCCGGAAUGUCCGUCCUAGUGAGGGACCAUGCCUAGCGAGUCCGUACAAGUGGUCCAGUCUUGUUUCGCUUCGAUGAGUAGGUUUGUUUGGUGUGCUCAUCCUACUACCUCAAAUGGACACAUUCGGGAUCAAAGUUUAGCACCGACUCUGAUUUGGACGGCUUGUCCGUCCUAGCGAGGGACCAUGCCUAGCGAGUCCGUACAACUGGUCUACUCUUGUUUCGCUUCGAUGAGUAGGUUUGUUUGGUGUGCUCAUCCUAGUACCUCAAAUGGACACGUUCCGGAUCAAAGUUUAGCACUGACUCCGAUUUGGCCGGAUUGUCCGUCGUAGGGAGGGACCAUGCCUAGCGAGUCCGUACAAGUGGUCUACUCUUGUUUCGCUUCGAUAAGUAGGUUUGUUUGGUGUGCUCAUUCCAGUACCUGAAAUGGACACGUUCCCGAUCAAAGUUUAGCACCGACUCCGAUUUACCCCGAUUGUCCGUCCUAGCGAGGGACCUUGCCUAGCGAGUCCGUACAACUGGUCUACUCUUGUUUCGCUUCGAUGAGUUGGUUUGCUUGGUGUGCUCAUCCUAGUACCUCAAAUGGACACAUUCCGGAACAAAGUUUAGCACCGACUCCGAUUUUGCCGGAUUGUCCGUCUUAGUGAGGGACCAUGCCCAGUGAGUCCGUACAAGUGGUCUAAUCUUGUUUCGCUUCGAUAAGUAGGUUUGUUUGGUGUGCUCAUCCUUGUGCCUCAAAUGGACAGGUUCCGGAUCAAAGUUUAGCAGCGACCCCGAUUUACCCGGAUUUUCCGUCCUAGUGAGGGACCAUGGGUAGCGAGUCCGUACAAGUGGUCUCCUCUUGUUUCGCUUCGAUGAGGAGCUUUGUUUGGUGUGCUCAUCCUAGUACCUCAAAUGGACACGUUUCGGAACAAAGUUUAGCACCGACUUCGAUUUUGCCAGAUUGUCCGUCUUAGGGAGGGACCAUGCCUAGCGAGUCCGUACAAGUGGUCUAGUCUUGUUUCGCUUCGAUAAGUAGGUUUUUUUGGUGUGCUCAUCCUAGUACCUCAAAGGGACACGUUCCGGAUAAAAGUUUAGCACCGACUCCGAUUUACCCGGAUUGUCCGUCCUAGUGAGGGACCAUGCCUAGCGAGUCCGUACAAGUGGUCUUGUCUUGUUUCGCUUCGAUGAGUAGGUUUGCUUGGUGUGCUCAUCCUAGUACCUCAAAUGGGCACGUUCCGGAACAAAGUUUAGCACCCACUCCGAUUUUGCCGGAUUGUCCGUCCUAGGGAGGGACCAUGCCUAGCGAGUCCGUACAAGUGGUCUAGUCUUGUUUCGCUUCGAUGAGUAGGUUUGCUUGGUGUGCUCAUCCUAGUACCUCAAAUGGACACGUUCCGGAACAAAGUUUAGCACCGACUCCGAUUUGGCCGGAUUGUCUGUCGUAGGGAGGGACCAUGCCUAGCGAGUACGUACAACUGGUCUACUCUUGUUUCGCUUUGAUGAGUAAGUUUGUUUGGUGUGCUCAUCCUAGUACCUCAAAUGGACACGUUCCGGAUAAAAGUUUAGCACCGACUCCGAUUUGGCCGGAUUGUCUGUCGUAGGGAGGGACCAUGCCUAGCGAGUACGUACAACUGGUCUAUUCUUGUUUCGCUUUGAUGAGUAAGUUUGUUUGGUGUGCUCAUCAUAGUACCUCAAAUGGACACGUUCCGGAUAAAAGUUUAGCACCGACUCGGAUUUGGCCGAAUUGUCCGUCCUAGUGAGGGUCCAUGCCUAGCGAGUCCACCUUCUUAUUCUUUUCUUCUUCUUUUUUUUCUUUUUUUUAACCCCAGAAACUCACGGAAAAGAAGGACCGGAAAACUGUACGUCGGUCUGUCGAAGAACAGCAAAGGCUGCAGUAAGAAAACUUCAAAAAAAUAUGGAAAAAUAUGGGUUAGAAGCGUAUCGACACAAGCUUUCCAGCAAGGGCAAGAUCACUCAAAACGGAUGUCGGACGGUGGAGAAAACUGAGAAACACCGGGCUGCAGAAACUUGGAAACUCCCAAAGUCCACCUUACAAACCGAAUUUGAGGGUCAAAGUGCAGGGCAACGCCCUGGAUAUUUCAAGAUGCGCCUCGUCGUGAGCUUUCUAGAAAGUCCAAGAACGUCCAAAUCCGAGUUAUUACGCAAAAGAUAUGCCCAUUUUACUGAACACGGGUCAAACCCACCCGAAACUAAAAUUCUACUCGGACUCGGGUCUGAAACUGACUCGAACUCUUUCUCUUUUUUUUUUGUUUUUUUUAUUUCUUUGUUUCCUUUUUUUUUCUUUCCUUUCUUUUUUUUUCAACAUUCGAAACAACUUGAUCUCUAAAAAAAAUUCGAUCUAUGAUGAAACACUUUCCAAAAGCACUCCUUAUUGGACUCGGACUCGAACUCGCGGCUGAAAACUAUAACUUGCCGACUCGAUGUAGGACUCGAAGAGGGACACGGCGUAGGACUCGACGAGGGACUCGGUGUAGGACUCGAAGAGGGACUCGGUGUAGGACUCGAAGAGGGACUCGGUGUAGGACUCGAAGAGGGACUCGGUGGAAGAUAUGGUGGCGGCGGGAAAUUAUGGCGGUGGUGUGGCAGGAAGUUUGGCGGCGGAAGAUUGAUGAAGGAAACCUGCGUCACACGAAGAACAAGAAAACCAAAAGCAAGUUCGAUCUAGUAGAAAAAAUCUGAAAAACGAUCCAAUCUAAUCCAGCAACUCGACACGAUUAAUGCAGCAAAGAUUCAACAAUGCAAAUACUAAUGUGAAAAUUGCAAGGCUCAGAUUGGUUCUAGGACAAGGUAACUAAUUCUAAUUUUUGUUUGGAUUUUUCUGGACGAUAGGUAAAAACAGAUCUAAACUACGGAUAAACUGGAAAAAUCUCACCGAGCAACCUUAAGCUCUGAUACCACGUGAUACUGGUGCGGGUGGCCCGAUCUUUAGAUGAGAUUGAUAACUCUCGAUUUGGGUAGGAGGUGACGUUGACGAUCCGACUACGGCCUAGAAGGCAGCGCCUUAGCAAUCGAUACACCAACUCUAGAGGGUUAUUGAUCCCGCGGGGGCACGAUCAACCUGACCACGAAGGUCUUUGUUCCUGCAAGCAAUCGAACAACAAGCAAGAACAAGAUAAAUAGCGGAUGCAAUCUAAAAUUGCAAAUAUACUAUAUCAAACCAAUGUCUCAACGAGACGAUAAGUUGGGCUUCCGAAAGCGGUAAAACAGGUGGUCUAACCGACACACGCGAUUACACGAAGUAGUAGCGAUGGCUAACUUUUAACUAAACAAAACCCAAGCCUCCUUAGGGGGGCUCAUGGGGUAUAUAAAGGAGGAGGGAGAGAUAUUUUCGUGCACCUUGAGUAAGGAGGCCGAAAUCCAACUCUAUCUCUAACUUUCCUAACAAACUACAACUCUUUAGGAAACAGAAAAACAGAUCCGUCAGAUUUUUUUGUCAUUCACGGUCAGCACGAGUCGAAUCACUUGAUGGGGCCAGAUCCGUUGGAAAGGUCUUGUAAUUACCUUUCCAACAAGUACUUGUUUGCUUGAUUUGGACUCCGGAAGCGGCCUGGGUGAUUAAAACAAAUUCGGGUCUGCUGGCAGCUCAGACCCGAAUCGGAUUCAACUUUAAUUCGUGAUAUCUUUCCCUCUCAGCUGUAUGAAUGCUUGAUUCUUGUUGGCCCUCCCGUUCGCCUCCAUCGUAUCUCAUCUUGACCGUGGACUUGAAAAGCUCGACAAAAUGCCUACGUAAUAAAACGAGACAAGAUAAUAGUAGCUCCGCCUCUUCAUAAAUAUGACAAUGAAAACAAUUACUACUUGAAUUCACCUGAUUAUAAAUCUUGUCAAAUAUUAUUGAAUUGAGGGUACCAAAGGUCGUAUCCAAGGUUAGCAUGUCCAUAUCACCUAGUACCUCAAAUGGACACGUUCCGGAUCAAAGUUAAGCACCGACUCUGAUUUGGCCGGAUUGUCCGACCAAGUAAGGGACCAUGCUUAGCGAGUCCAUAAAAGUGGCCUAUUGUUGUUUCGCUUUGAUGAGUAGCUUUGUUUGGUGUGCUCAUCCUAGUACCUCAAAUGGACACGUUCCGGAUCAAAGUUUAGCACCCACUCCGAUUUGGCCCGAUUGUCCGUCCUAGCGAGAGACCAUGCCUAGCGAGUCCGUACAAGUGGUCUAGUCUUGUUCGCCUCGAUGAGGAGGUUUGUUUGGUGUGCUCAUCCUAGUACCUCAAAUGCACACGUUCCGGAUGGAAGUUUAGCACCGACUCCGAUUUACCUGGAUUGUCCGUCCUAGUGAGGGACCAUGCCUAACGAGUACGUACAACUGGUCUACUCUUGUUCGCUUCGAUGACGAGGUUUGUUUGGUGUGCUCAUCCUAGUACCUCAAAUGGACACGUUCCGGAUGGAAGUUUAGCACCGACUCUGAUUUGGCCGAAUUGUCCGUCGUAGUGAGGGACCAUGCCUAGCGAGUCCAUACGAGUGGUCUAGUCUUGUUUCGCUUCGAUGAAUAGGUUUGUUUGGUGUGCUCAUCCUAGUACCUCAAAUGGACACGUUCCGGAACAAAGUUUAGCACCGACUCCGAUUUAGCCGGAUUGUCCGUCCUAGUGAGGGACCAUGCCUAGCGAGACCGUACAAGUGGUCUAGACUUGUUUCGCUUCCAUCAGUAGGUUUGUUUGGUGUGCUCAUCCUAAUACCUCAAAUGGACACGUUCGGGAUCAAAGUUUAGCACCGACUCGGAUUUGGCCGGAUUGUCCGUCCUAGUGGGGGACCAUGCCUAGCGAGUCCGUACAAGUGGUCUAGUCUUUUUUCGCUUUGAUGAGUAGGUCUGUUUGGUGUGCCCAUCCUAGUACCUCAAAUGGACACGUUCCGGAUCAAAUUUAGCACUGACACCGAUUUCGCCGAAUUAUCUGUCCUAGCGAGGGACCAUGCAGGCAGAAUUGUCCAUCCAAGUGAGGAACCAGCUCUAGCGUGACCGUACAAGUGGUCUAGUCUAGUUUCGCUUCGAUGAGUAGCUUUGUUUGGUGUGCUGAUCCUAGUAUCUCAAACGGACACGUUCCGUAUCAAAGUUUCGCACCGGCUCCGAUUUAGCCGGAUUGUCGGUCCUAGUGAGGGACUAUGCCUAGCGAGGCCCUACAAGUGGUCUAGUCUUCGUUUCGCUUCGAUGAGAAGGUUUGUUUGGUGUGCUCAUCCUAGAACCUCAAAUGGACACGUUCCGGAUCAAAGUUUGGCACCGACUCUGAUAUGGCCGGAUUGUCCGUUCUAGUGAUGGACCAUGCCUAGCGAGACCGUACAAGUGGUCUAGUCUGGUUUCGCUUCGAUGAGUUGCUUUGUCUGGUGUGCUCAUCCUAGUACCUCAAAUGGACACGUUCCGUAUCAAAGUUUCGCACCGACUCCGAUUUAGCCGAAUUGUCCGUCCUGGUGAGCGACAAUGCCUAGCGAGGCCCUACAUGUGGUCUAGUGUUGUUUCGCUUCGAUGAGUAGCUUUGUUUGGUGUGGUACCCUGCCGGCAGAAUUGUCCGUCCUAGUGAAGCACCACCCCUAGCGAGUCCGUACAAGUGGUCUAGUCUGGUUUGGCCUCGAUGAGUUGCUUUGUUUGGUAUGCUCAUCCUAGUAGCUCAAAUGGACAUGUUCCGUAUCAAAGUUUCUCACCGACUCCGAUUUAGCCGGAUGGUCCGUCCUUGUGAGGGACGAUGCCUAGCGAGGCCCUACAAGUGGUCUAGUGUUGUUUCGCUUCGAUGAGUAGCUUUGUUUGGUGUGCUCAUCCUAGUACCUCAAAUGGACACGUUCCGGAUCAAAGUUUAGCACAGACUCCGAUUUAGCCGGAUUGUCCGUCCUUGUGAGGGACCAAGCCUAUCGAGUCCGUAAAAGUGGUCUAGUUUUCUUUCGCUUCGAUGAGUAGGUUUGUUGAAGCGACCGCCCCCAUACAAGGGUUCGAUCUCUGUGCUUUAGUGCUAGUCCCUGGAUCAACUCACUAGCACACACAGUUUCAAGAUGUAAUAUCAUAGAACAAAGGUCUCAAUAUUACAACGUUUCAUCCAGAAUAUAAGAGGGUACUUACAACUCGCAUAACCUCACGGGUUAGCUGGAAAUAAAACAACUGUUUAGCAGCGGAAAACGGAAGAUACAAGGGCACAUCAACACCACGGUGAGAGCGUGUUGGAAUGUUGGCCCGUAACCCAAACAAGUAGAACGUACAUCUUACUCGUCGUCGGAGCUUCCUGCAUCAUUAAACGAUGCAGCCACUAGGGUCAAUACAUUGAAUGUAUUGGCAAGAUUCACUAUGAGUUAUAUCAAAACCUACCAAGUAUAUGCAGUAUUUGGCAAGGUGGAGUUCAGGCUGUUUGCGUGGAAGCAGAACAUAAAUUACCCUACUACAAAGGAAUGUUAUAAUAAUGUUAACUAAUGGACACGGGGUAGACACACCCAUGCUCCUAUUAACCUAGAGUACAUUGAAGUGGAUUCUUCAAGUGCUCCUACCCUGUUCAAACCAUUCAUUUUAUUUAAGAAAUUGGAAUGAGUGAGACUUUUCUUACAGCUCCACAUCUAGUUGCUCAAAUUGUCCGUUGCCGGGGACACGGCUAAGUACUUAGUUUUGACGCUCUCGAGAGUUUGUACACAUUCCCCACAAGAAACCGACGUGUUAAUCCCUUGCUGUCCUCAGGGUAGAGUAGCAACGGCAUCGAUUACGAGAUUUUCAGAGGUAAUUCCCUAAACCACGAGAGAAUCACGCUCCCCCUACACGGCUACCUCAGUACAAUUCUUCGGGUCUAGGUUCAUACAACUUACUCUUGUCUCGCCAAAGCCCAUAUAGCAUUGUGGUUGUACUAGAAGCUUCUAAAUAGGAAACUAGUCCAGUCUCGGUUACCCCAGGUGGCAUUCCACAUUUGCAACGUAGGCGCUCCCCGAAUCCACGGGAGAGACGUCCAUGGACGAUCCAUUCUUGAAUCCACAGGAACUCGACUCAGAGGGACCCAUAGAAAUGGACCUGACGCCGCUAAUCCUCAAAAUCCUCAAAGCAGCCCACCCAGGAUGGUUCAUUGAAUUAGUUGUUUUGCCUUACAUCUAACAAAACAUUUCAUAUAGCCAAAGGCAUAACAAUAUCAUAAUGUAGUUAUUUCCCCCACGAUACUACCAUAGCUUAGCAUUCAAACUACAAUCGAUGGCAAUUUGGUAGCAAGGUAAUGGCGAGGGUAAACUAUACUACCUGGGAUUUAUAGCUAGCAUAGAGGUACGAGUAAUAGUCCUAUCAAUGCAUCUCUACCAACAACACUAAUGCAUAAGUAUUUUAAAACAACAAUAAUAAUGGGAUAUGAUCAAAGUGAACUUGCCUUGUCCAAGGUUGUGGUAGUUCUCGCACUCUUCGCAACCACAAGAAAUACACUCCACACAAUCUAAAAUAAAAGAAACACACACAAUAAACACAACAUUCAAUACAAAAACCAUGUCAUGAUGCAUAUGCCAAGAUGAUGCACACAAAGGUUACUUCUAACGUACAAAGUUUCGUUUCUGUUUUGAAAAGGCUCUCAAAAGAUUUGGACAGAUUAUACAACAUCAAAGUGGUAAUUAAUAUGCAUGAUACAUGAAUAGGGUUUAAAACAAAAGAUUGUGUGGCUUUUGCAACAUAGAGCAUUAUUUAACUUGUAUGCCAUGAUUAUACACAAAAUAAUUUCUUCUCUGGUCCUAAUGGAUAGAGAACAACUUUAAAUAAUUAUACUGCAAGAUAACAUGCUCAAAACUAUUUUGAAACAAUUCAUUUGAAAUUUAAACUCUAUUCAACCAAUCUGUAAAUUGCUUCUGACUAAUUUGUUCAAAACUGAAAUUAAAUAGUGCCAAAAUAUUCUAAACGUUGUGACGAUUCUAGAAAGGUGUGGAUCGUAAAUUUUGGACAAACGGUUUAAAAGAUAUGGGGUUUUGAAGUUGUAGGGGCUUUUCUGCAAAAUUGCAUUAUCCAAUUCGGCCGAAUUAAAAUAAAAAGAAAAACCUGCCACGUGGCAUGGCGGGACUGGCCGGUUUCUAGGGUUCCGGCCGGCGGCUAGCUCGCCGGCGGUGGCGCGGGGCGGCGUGGCGCGGGCAGAGGCGGCGCAGGCGAGCGGCAGGGGCGGCGCGCGCACGGCGGCGGCGGGCGGCGCGGGGCAGCGGGUCGCGCGGGCAGCGCGGGCGGCGCGGAGGCGGCGCGGGGCGCAGGACGCGACGGGCGGCGCGCGAGCGGAGCAGGGCGGCGCAGGCGGCCGCGCGGGCAUGGACAGCGCGCGGAGGGCGGCGGGCGGCGCGGCGCACGGGCGCGGCACACGGGGCGGCGCGGGGGUGCGGCCAGGCGGAGCGGGAGGCGGAGGCGGCGUGUGGACGGCGGAGCACGGGCGGCGGGGGGCGGCCGGCGCCGAGGAAGACGGCGGACGGAGGCGCAGAGCUCCAAAUCGCGGCCGGCUCGCGUCACAGCGUGCGCAAGGAAGAGAGGAGGAAGAUAGGGGGUCGGCGCGGGCGGAGACUCACCGGAAUGGCAACGAAAACGCGAAGAAUGGCGGUGGCAGCAACGAACUCCGGCGACCAAUUAGUUUCUAACCGGUGCGAAUUGGACGUGGGGUUUGGCGGAAGUGGAGGAGAUAAGCGAGGGCUUCGGGAUGACGCGCAAGGAUUUGGAGAAAACGGCCCGAGCGCGGAGAAAUCGGAGGUGGAGUCGUGGGCAGUUCGCGGGCGUGCGUGGCCGGAUUUUUCGGACGGAGGUUGAAGAUGACGCGUGGGUCCCACCGGUCAGUGAGAGCGGGCGGCUCGGGCGGGGCAGAGCCGGUCCGGUUCGGUCCGGUCCGGUUUGACCGGUUCGGCCGGUUUUCCCCGGUUUUCCUUUUCUUUUAUUUAUUUUCUGUUUUUGAACCUCAAAAUUGAUUCGGAGCUCCAAAUCACUCCAAAUAAAAUGCAACAAAAUUUGUAAAAUCAUAUUUUCAUAUGAUCUAACUUUUGGAGCAAGAAUUUUCUUAAAAUAAAAUAUUUCAAAAUACAUUUGCCUAUAAAAUGGAUUUUAGGCCCCUUAGGCUAUCGAAACAAAUUAUCUUUCAAAAUACUUUCAAAAGCCAAUCUAUGGGAUAGAUUAUAUAUGCAUUAAAUCCCAUUUUACCACAAUACCCUCAUGGGUUAAAAAUGCAAAUAGUCAAGAGCAAGAUCAAAGCCCAAAGUCAAAUAAAGGCAUUUUUGCAAAAGUGUUUUCUGGGCAAACUUUAGGGUUUUGAAAGUGAUCAAAUGCAAGGGUGACAUGAUGCUUAUGAUAUGCAAUGCAUAUGAAGAAUUUUGAAAAUUGGGAUGUUACAUUUGUUUGGUGUGCUCAUCCUAGUACCUCAAAUGGACACGUUCCGGAUCAAAGUUUGGCACCGACUCUGAUAUGGCCGGAUUGUCCGUUCUAGUGAUGGACCAUGCCUAGCGAGUCCGUACAAGUGGUCUAGUCUUGUUUCGCUUCCAUAAGUAGGUUUGUUUGGUGUGCUCAUCCUAAUACCUCAAUGUGACACGUUCCGGAUCAAAAUUUAGCACCGACUCCGAUUUGGCCCGAUAGUCCGUCGUAUUGAGGGACCAUGCCUAGCGAUUCCGUACAAGUGGUCUAGUCUGGUUUUCCUUCGAUUAGUAGCUUUGUUUGGUGUGCUCAUCCUAAUAUCUCAAAUGGACAUGUUCCGUAUCAAAGUUUCGCACCGACUCCGAUUUAUGCGCAUUGUCCGUCCUUGUAAGGGACUACGCCUAGCGAGGUCCUACAAGUGGUCUAGUGUUGUUUCGCUUCGAUGAGUAUCUUUGUUUGGUGUGCUCAGCCUAGUACCUCAAAUGGACACGUUCCGGAUCAAAGUUUAACACCAACUCGGAUUUGGCCGAAUUGUCCGUCCAAGUGAGAGACCAUGCCUAGCGAGUCCCUAAAAGUGGUCUAGUCUUCUUUCGCUUCGAUGAGUAGGUUUGUAUGGUGUGCACAUCCUUGUACCUCAAAUGGACACGUUCCGGAUCAAAGUUUAGCAUAGACUCCGAUUUAGCCGGAUUGUCCGUCCUUGUGAGGGACCAAGCCUAUCGAGUCCGUAAAAAUGGUCUAGUCUUGUUUCGCUUCGAUGAGUAGGUUUGUUUGGUGUGCUCAUCGUAGUACCUCAAAUGGACACGUUUUGGAUGAAAGUUUUGCACCGACUCGGAUUUGGCCGGAUUGUCCGUCCUAGUGAGGGACCAUGCCUAGCAAGUCCGUACAAGUGGUCUAGUCUUGUUUCGCUUCGAUGAGUAGGUCUGAGUGGUGUGCCCAUCCUACUACCUCAAAUGGACACGUUCCGGAUCAAAUUUAGCACUGACACCGAUUUGGCCGAAUUAUCUGUCCUAGCGAGGGACCAUGCAGGCAGAAUUUUCCAUCCAAGUGAGGAACCUGGCCUAGCGUGACCGUACAAGUGGUCUAGUCUGGUUUCGCUUCGAUGAGUAGCUUUGUUUGGUGUGCUGAUCCUUGUAUCUCAAACGGACACGUUCCGUAUCAAAGUUUCGCACCGACUCCGAUUUAGCCGGAUUGUCCGUCCUAGUGAGCGACUAUGCCUAGCAAGGCCCUACAAGUGGUCUAGAGUUGCUUUGUUUGGUAUGCUCAUCCUAGCAGCUCAAAUGGACAUGUUCCGUAUCAAAGUUUCUCACCGACUCCGAUUUAGCCGGAUGGUCCGUCCUUGUGAGGGACGAUGCCUAGCGAGGCCCUACAAGUGGUCUAGUGUUGUUUCGCUUCGAUGAGUAACUUUGUUUGGUGUGCUCAUCCUAGUAACUCAAAUGGACACGUUCCGGAUCAAAGUUUAGCACAGACUCCGAUUUAGCCGGAUUGUCCGUCCUUGCGAGGGACCAAGCCUAUCGAGUCCGUAAAAGUGGUCUAGUCUUGUUUCGCUUCGAUGAGAAGGUUUGUUUGGUGUGCUCAUCCUAGUACCUCAAAUGGACACGUUCCGGAUCAAAGUUUGGCACCGACUCUGAUAUGGCCGGAUUGUCCGUUCUAGUGAUGGACCAUGCCUAGCGAGACCGUACAAGUGGUCUAGUCUGGUUUCGCUUCGAUGAGUUGCUUUGUCUGGUGUGCUCAUCCUAGUACCUCAAAUGGACACGUUCCGUAUCAAAGUUUCGCACCGACUCCGAUUUAGCCGAAUUGUCCGUCCUCGUGAGCGACAAUGCCUAGCGAGGCCCUACAUGUGGUCUAGUGUUGUUUCGCUUCGAUGAGUAGCUUUGUUUGGUGUGGUACCCUGCCGGCAGAAUUGUCCGUCCUAGUGAAGCACCACCCCUAGCGAGUCCGUACAAGUGGUCUAGUCUGGUUUGGCCUCGAUGAGUUGCUUUGUUUGGUAUGCUCAUCCUAGUAGCUCAAAUGGACAUGUUCCGUAUCAAAGUUUCUCACCGACUCCGAUUUAGCCGGAUGGUCCGUCCUUGUGAGGGACGAUGCCUAGCGAGGCCCUACAAGUGGUCUAGUGUUGUUUCGCUUCGAUGAGUAGCUUUGUUUGGUGUGCUCAUCCUAGUACCUCAAAUGGACACGUUCCUGAUCAAAGUUUAGCACAGACUCCGAUUUAGCCGGAUUGUCCGUCCUUGUGAGGGACCAAGCCUAUCGAGUCCGUAAAAGUGGUCUAGUCUUGUUUCGCUUCGAUGAGUAGGUUUGUUUGGUGUGCUCAUCCUAGUACCUCAAAUGGACACGUUCCGGAUCAAAGUUUGGCACCGACUCUUAUAUGGCCGGAUUGUCCGUUCUAGUGAUGGACCAUGCCUAGCGAGUCCGUACAAGUGGUCUAGUCUUGUUUCGCUUCCAUAAGUAGGUUUGUUUGGUGUGCUCAUCCUAAUACCUCAAUGUGACACGUUCCGGAUCAAAGUUUAGCACCGACUCCGAUUUGGCCCGAUAGUCCGUCGUAUUGAUGGACCAUGCCUAGCGAUUCCGUACAAGUGGUCUAGUCUGGUUUUCCUUCGAUUAGUAGCUUUGUUUGGUGUGCUCAUCCUAAUAUCUCAAAUGGACAUGUUCCGUAUCAAAGUUUCGCACCGACUCCGAUUUAUGCGCAUUGUCCGUCCUUGUAAGGGACUACGCCUAGCGAGGCCCUACAAGUGGUCUAGUGUUGUUUCGCUUCGAUGAGUAGCUUUGUUUGGUGUGCUCAGCCUAGUACCUCAAAUGGACACGUUCCGGAUCAAAGUUUAACACCAACUCGGAUUUGGCCGAAUUGUCCGUCCAAGUGAGAGACCAUGCCUAGCGAGUCCCCACGAGCGGUCUACUCUUGUACCGGAGAUACAACCACAGCCCCUACAGCACAUACACCUCAAGUACCGGAGAUACACGGACCAAUUACUAGAGCUCGUGCACGACAACUAAAUUAUCUGGUACUUUCGUUCCUCGGUACUUCAUUUAAUAUUAAUGAGAAUAUGCUGCUGCCUAAGAUGGGUUCUUUUAUGUGUUUUAGGAAUGAAGGACCUAGCUUGCACCUCAAGGAUCAGCGUUGGACAGCAAACCAUGGAGGUGGCAGCAAGGUGGCGGGAGCUAACUCAAGUGAUGAUUUCAGAACAUUGAAACCGCCAUAACGAGAGAUGGGAAGAAGGCCGCAUCCUCUUCAUCAAUGGGAUUUCGGCCAAGUGGAGGAUUCUCCCUCCAAUGGGUAUCUAUGGGCCAAAGAUGAGGGUUAUAAUCUUGCUUUAUUGGGCCUAAGGCCAUAGAAUAGGGUCCAGCCAAUUUUUAGAUGUUUUCGUUGUGUUUUAGGAGGAUUCCUAGGCCGUUUCGGAGUCCCUCAAGGGCCUGUCCGAAAACCACCUAGUUCCCCUCCUGUUUAUACCCCAUGAGCCCCCCCGUGGAGCCUUGGGUUUUGAUUAGAUAAAGUUUAGCCUUUGCUACUUUCGUGUAAUCGCGUGUGUCGGUUAGACCACCUGUUUUACCGUCAUCAAGACUCCAACCAUAUUGAGUAUUCAGAUUCGUGAACUUUCAUAUCUCCUAUUCGCAAUUUCAGAUUGCUUUUCAUCUUGUUCUUGCUUGUUCUUCGAUUGCUUGCAGGAACAAAGACCUUCGUGGUCAGGUUGAUCGUGCCCCCGCGGGAUCAAUAACCUUCUGGAGUUGGUGUAUCGAUCGCUAAGGCGCUGCCUCCUAGGUUGUAGUCGGAUCGUCAACGCCACCUCCUACCAAAUCGAUAAUUAGGUAUCUCAUCGAAAGAUCGGGACACCCUCGAGGCUAUCACGUGGUAUCAGAGCUUAAGGUUGCUCGGUGAGAUUUUUCCAGUUUAUCCGUAGUUUAGAUCUGUUUUUACCUAUCGUCCAGAAAAAGCCAAACAAAAAUUAGAAUUAGUUACCUUGUCUUAGAACCAAUCUGAGCCUUGCAAUUUUCACAUUAGUAUUUGCAUUGUUGAAUCUUUGCUGCAUUAAUCGUGUCGAGUUGCUGGAUUAGAUUGGAUCAUUUUUCAGAUUUUUUCUACUAGAUCGAACUUGCUUUUGGUUUUCUUGUUCUUCGUGUGACGCAGGUUUCCUUCAUCAAUCUUCCGCCGCCAAACUUCCUGCCACACCACCGCCAUAAUCUUCCGCCGCCACCAUAUCUUCCACCGAGUCCCUCUUCGAGUCCUACACCGAGUCCCUCUUCAAGUCCUACACCGAGUCCUUCUUCCAGUCCUACACCGAGUCCCUCUUCGAGUCCUACAUCGAGUCGGGAAGUUAUAGUUUUCAGCCGCGAGUUCGAGUCCGAGUCCAAUCAAGAGUGCUUUUGGAAAGUGUUUCAUAAUAGAUCGAAUUUUGUUUAAAGAUCAUGUUGUUCGGAAAGUUGUGAAAAAAAAAGAAGGGAAAGAAAAAAAAAGGAAGAAAGAAAGAAAAAAAAAGGAAAAAAAAAAGAGAAAGAGUUCGAGUCAGUUUCGGACCCGAGUCCGAGUAGAAUUUUAGUUUCGGGUGGGUUUGACCCAUGUUCAGUAAAACGGACGUAUCUUUUGCAUACCAACUCGGAUUUGGACAUUCUUGGACUUUUUGGAAAGCCCACGACGAAGCGCAUCAGGAAAUAUCCAGGGCUCUGCUUGACCCUAAAAUUCGGCCUCUAAGGUGGACUUUUCGAUCUCCAAAGUUUCUGCACCCAUUUUACGGCACCGGGGCAGCGCAGUAUAUCUCAGUUUUCUCCACCGUCCGACCUCCGUUUCGAGUGAUCUUGCACUUGUUGGAAAGCUUGUUUUGAUACGCUUCUAACCCAUAUUUUCUCAUAUUUUUCUGAGUUUUCCUUAGUACAGCCUUUGCUAUUCUCCUACAGACCGACGUGCAGCUUUCCGGUCUUAACUUCUUUUGCGUGAGUUUCUGGGGAUAAAAAAAAACGAAUAAAAAAUAGAAAAGAAUAAGAAGCCAAACAAAAGGCCAAAAAAAAAAGAAAAAAAAAGAGAAAAAAUAUUCCCCAGAGAUUUACUUGUUUUACCUUUCAUUUGAUCUUUCCUUUGUACCUUUUUCAGUAUCUAGGCUUAGUUAAUUUCUGUAAUUCGUUCUUGUCAACUCCAGCAACUAGGACUAGCAUUUUUGAGCAUAUUUUCAACUUUGCAUUGCUGAUUUGAUUAUUCGCUUUUCCUUGCUACUCACAUAAGCGUCCAAGCUCCACAGAUUCUACACCUAGGUUGGUUUGCCUCGAGGCAUCGAUACACUAAUCUUCGGAGGGCUUGUUCUCGCCGCUGGCCAUCACCUUCCUGUUUGCUGGGUAAGAACGAGUAAGAACUUGAUUAAAAGUUGAGUGGAGUGAUCUUUGGAACCCCACAUCCUAGUAGUGCAUAGGGACUUUUCCUUGUGAUUUGUUUCUUGUUUUCUCCUAACGAUGGCAGGUUCUGACGAUGAUUUACAAGGCCACUCUCCACGCACAAAGGGCAUUAUUUCACAUUUUGAUCGCAAGCUUAGGCUCCGUAACGAGGAGCUGGAUGAGGACGUUCGGGUUGCGAAUGAGAGACUUGGAACCUUGGAGAGCGCGCACAUUGAAACAAAUACCAAGCUAACAUCUUUACAGAAUUCUGUUGCUACCAUUAGUACUUCUCUGGCAGAAAUCACGACGCAACUGGCGGCAAUUGCUGCAACGACCAUCGCUACAUCGGGAGGAAACAAUACACACAACCAGCGGACCGCUAAUAACGGUACCUUCGCAAGCGAGGUUGAGGAGAACGACGACGACUACUCCGCGGAUACGGAACACGACGGGACCGUAAACCAUCACAACUACCGUGAUCAUCGCCGAACUCGUUUCAACCGCCGAGGUAUGGGACCGACACGACCUCACAGAGAGGAACAUGACUUGCUGCAUUCUAUUAAAUUUAAGGUUCCUCCUUUUGAUGGAAAAUAUGACCCUGAUGCUUACCUUACAUGGGAAUUAGAAUUGAGUCAAAAAUUUACUUGCCAUGAUUUUCCUGCUAAUAAGAGGGUUAGGGCUGCUACUAGUGAGUUUACUGAUUUUGCUUCUGUUUGGUGGCAUGAGUAUUGUAUUGCACAUCCUAACGCUAUACCACCAACAUGGGAUGAUUUGAAAAGAAUUAUGCGUGCUAGAUAUGUUCCUUCAUACUAUUCGCGUGACUUGUUAAAGAAACUACAACAAUUAAGGCAAGGUAGUAAUUCUGUCCAAGAUUAUUAUCAAGAAAUGCAAAAGAAGAUGUUACGUUGUGGUUUAGUUGAGAAUGAGGAAGCUGCUAUGGCUAGAUUCUUUGGUGGUUUAAAUCGUGAAAUUGCUGACAUUGUUGAUUAUAAGGAGUAUAAUUCUAUCAAUCGAUUGUUUCACAUUGCUUGCAAAGCUGAAAGGGAAGUGCAGGGACGACACGCGAACGCGCGGACUAACUUUUCUGCAGGUCGUACUUCCUCAUGGGCAGCACGCAGCCCUGCUGCCCCUUCCACACGCCCAGCUGCACCCCCUACACGUCCGGCUGUUCUGACUACUUCCACCAACAAGCAAAGUACCUCUACACCUACAUCCGCAAAGGUUGGACCAGCAGCAACAAGAAAUACACCCGCUGCCUCUGCACAAAGUUCAGCAGCGUCCGUUGCUUCCACCGGGUUAGGGCUGCUACUAGUGAGUUUACUGAUUUUGCUUCUGUUUGAUGGCAUGAGUAUUGUAUUGCACAUCCUAACGCUAUACCACCAACAUGGGAUGAUUUGAAAAGAAUUGAUAUGGAAACCAUGGAUACGACCAUUAGAACCCUAAUUGUUGGUGUCUCUAAUAAUUAUAAUCAGGUGAAUUCAAUUACAAAAUGUUUUCAAUAUGUUACUUGCAAAGAGGCGGAGCUACUAUCUUGUGUAAUCUUAUUAUGUAGGCAUCUUAUUGAACUUUACAAGUCCAAAGUGAAGAUGAAGUGUUAUAGCCUGCAAAGGGAGAUUCAAAGUGAAGCCUAUCAAGUCUACUUUCCAACAAAUCAAACGGCACAUGAUUCGGAGCUUGCUACAGAAAGAUAUCACGAAUUAAAGUUGAAUCCGAUUCGGGUCCGAGCUGUCAGGAGACCCGAAUUUGUUUUAAUCACCCAGGCCGCAUCCGGAGUCCAAAUCAAGCAAACAAGUACUUGUUGGAAAGGUAAUUACAAGACCUUUCCAACGGAUCUGGCCCCAUCAAGAGAUUCGACUCGUGCUGACCGUGGCGGACAAAACAAGCAGACGGAUCUGUUUUUCUGUUUCCUAAAGAGUUGUAGUUUGUUAGGAAAGUUAGAGAUAGAGUUGGAUUUCGGACUCCUUAUUCAAGGUGGACGAAAAUAUCUCUCCCUCCUCCUUUAUAUACCCCAUGAGCCCCCCUAAGGAGCCUUGGGUUUUGAUUAGAUAAAGUUUAGCCUUUGCUACUUUCGUGUAAUCGCGUGUGUCGGUUAGACCACCUGUUUUACCGUCAUCAAGACUCCAACCAUAUUGAGUAUUCAGAUUCGUGAACCUUCAUAUCUCCUAUUCGCAAUUUCAGAUUGCUUUUCAUCUUGUUCUUGCUUGUUCUUCGAUUGCUUACAGGAACAAAGACCUUCGUGGUCAGGUUGAUCGUGCCCCCGCGGGAUCAAUAACCUUCUAGAGUUGGUGUAUCGAUCUCUAAGGCGCUGCCUCCUAGGUUGUAGUCGGAUCGUCAACGUCACCUCCUACCAAAUCGAUAAUUAGGUAUCUCAUCGAAAGAUCGGGACACCCUCGAGGCUAUCACGGAAGAUGAAGUGUUAUAGCCUGCAAAGUUAUUAUAAGUUCAGCACGUUCCUUAGCAUCAAAGUUAACUUUUUCAGAAGUUGGCAAAGGUAACAAAUCAAUUGGUGCACGAGGCAUAAAACCAUAAACAAUUUCAAAAGGGCACAAUUUUGUGGUUGAAUGCAGUGAACGAUUAUAAGCAAAUUCAGUAUGAGGUAAACAUUCUUCCCACAUUUUCAAGUUCUUCUUUAAAACAGCCCUAAGCAUAGUAGAUAAUGUUCUAUUAACAACUUCAGUUUGUCCAUCUAUUUGGGGAUGACAUGUAGUACUAAAAAUCAAUUUAGUCCCCAACUUAGCCCAUAAACAUCUCCAAAAGUGGCUAAGAAAUUUUGUGUCACGAUUUGAAACUAUAGUAUUGGCACACCAUGCAAGCGAACAAUUUCACGAAAGAAUAAAUCAGCAACAUUUGUAGGAUCAUCGCUCUUAUGACAAGGUAUAAAAUGUGCCAUCUUAGAAAAUCUAUCAACAACAACAAAUAUGCUAUCCCUCCCCUUCUUAGUUCGAGGCAAUCCCAAAACAAAAUCCAUUGAUAUAUCUUUCCAAGGAACAUUAGGAACAGGGAGAGGCAUAUAUAAACCAUGAGGAUUGAGUCGUGACUUAGCUUUUUGACAUGUAGUGCAGCGAGCGAUAAAUCUCUCAACAUCCCGUCUCAUCCGAGGCCAAAAGAAAUGAUCAGCGAGCACAUCUUCGGUCUUCUUCACGCCGAAGUGACCCAUCAACCCUCCUCCAUGUGCCUCCUGUAACAACAAAAGACGAACGGAGCUAUCUGGGAUGCAUAGCUUGUUAGCACGGAACACAAAUCCAUCAUUAAUGACGAACUUGUUCCAUGUUCUGCCCUCUUUACAAUGCUGCAAAACAUCCUUAAAAUCGGCAUCAUGUUCAUAUUAUUCUUUUAUAGUCUCCAAUCCAAAUAUCCGAAAAUCAAGCUGAGAUAACAAGGUAUAACGACGUGAUAACACAUCAGCAAUAACAUUAUCUUUACCUUUCUUGUGUUUAAUAACAUACGGAAAAGACUCAAUAAAUUCAACCCAUUUAGCAUGACGACGGUUCAGCUUUGCUUGACUACGAAUAUGCUUCAAAGAUUCAUGAUGAGAAUGUAUAAAAAAUUCUUUGGGCCAUAAAUAAUGUUGCCAUGUUUCUAAAGUCCGAACGAGAGCAUAUAAUUCCUUAUCAUAAGUAGAAUAAUUCAGACUAGGCCCACUCAAUUUUUCACUAAAGUAUGCAACAGGUUUUCCAUCUUGUAACAACACACCUCCUAAACCGAUUCCACUAGCAUCACACUCCAACUGAAAAGUCUUAUUAAAAUCAGGAAGUUGGAGUAAAGGAGCAUGUGUCAACUUAUCUUUCAAUAUGAGAAAAGCUUCUUCUUGUGCAGCGCCCCAUACAUAUGGAACGUCGUUCUUUGUGAGCUCAUUAAGCGGUGCAGCAAGGGUGCUGAAAUCCUUUACAAAACAGCGAUAAAACCCAGCGAGUCCAAGAAAGCUCCUCACUUGGGUGACCGUUGUUGGAGUUGGCCAGCUUUGAAUAGCGUCGAUCUUGGCCUUAUCAACUUCUAUGCCCUGUGGAGUGACAACAUAGCCAAGAAACGAAACUCGAUCGGUGCAAAAGGUGCACUUCUCAAGGUUACCAAACAAACGUGCAUCUCUCAAAGCAUCAAAAACAGCACGUAAAUUAUUCAAGUGGUUUUCUAAAGAGCUGCUGUAAAUCAAUAUAUCAUCAAAAUAAACCACCACAAAUCGUCCUAUGAAAGCACGUAAAACUUCGUUCAUUAACCGCAUGAAAGUGCUAGGUGCGUUAGUAAGACCGAAAGGCAUGACUAACCACUCAUAUAGUCCAAACUUAGUUUUAAAUGUUGUUUUCCAUUCAUCGCCUAAUACAUUUGAAUUUGGUGGUAACCACUACGUAAAUCAACUUUAGAGAACUCGGUAGAGCCACUUAAUUCAUCUAACAUAUCAUCAAGUCUAGGAAUUGGGUGACGAUAGCGAAUAGUAAUGUUAUUAAUAGCUCUACAAUCUACACACAUACGCAAAGAACCAUCUUUCUUUCGUACCAAAAUAACAGGAACAGCACAAGGACUAAGGGAUUCACGAACAUAACCUUUGUCGAGCAAUUCUUAAACUUGUCGUUGAAUCUCUUUCGUCUCCUCUGGAUUGGUACGGUAGGGCGCACGGUUGGGCAGCGAAGCACCAGGAAUUAAAUCAAUUUGAUGUUCAAUCCCUCGAAUAGGUGGUAAUCCUGGUGGUACGUCUUGUGGAAAGACGUCGGAAUACUCCUGCAAAACGUGAGUAACAGCAGGGGGCAAAGAGGGAGGCAUAUUCUCAAAUGAAAACAAAGCCUCUUUGCAAAUGAAUGCAUAGCAAACAGAAUUAUUCGUAUCUAACUCAGAAAUAUCAGAUUUACUUGCAAGCAAGCAUGCACCUCUCAAUUUUAUUUCAUUAACAUGUUUCGGUUCAGAUUUGCUAGUAGACGCUUGGUGCUUAAAUUCUUUAGCGACAUUCUGGUUCUCACUCUUAUCCUUCUCUUUGCUCUUUGCUCUACUAGCUCUAGCAAGAUCAUCUUUCACAAUUUGUUCAGGAGUCAUAGGUUUCAAACCAAUUUUCUUACCAGCAAGCAUAAAAGAACAAUGAUUAGUUCUACCAUGAUGAACAGAAUCUGUAUCAUAUUGCCAUGGACGACCGAGUAACAUAGAACAUGCUUGCAUAGGUACCACAUCACAAUCCACAAAAUCAGACUAUGUACCGAUAGUAAAGUGUGCACGGACUAUUCUAGUUACCUUGAGCUUACCGCUGUUGUUAAACCAUUGAAUGUAGUAAGGGUGGGGGUGCGGCCUGGUGGUAAGAACAAGUUUUUCCACCAUCUCCGUGCUGGCCAAAUUAUUGCAACUUCCCCCAUCUAUGAUGAUACGAACAGCGCCCUCCUUGAUGACCCCUUUUGUUUGGAACAAGUUAUGCCGCUGAUUUUGUUCGGCGUGGCUCAUUUGGACGCUCAAGGUGCGUUGUGCAAUCAAACUCAAGUACUGAUCAGCGGUUUCAGCUCCCAUUAUCUCCUCGUCAUGGUGGGCAGCGGGGUCUUCUUGCUCUUCCUCGGCAAUGAGAGCAUAGGUAGCGUCGUCAAAAUCACUGGCUGAAUCAUAUACUCCAUCUUCACGUAUGAUCAUAACGCGUUUGCUUGGACAGUCCCGCUGAAAAUGCCCGUAUCCUUUGCACCUACGACAUUGGUUAUCUCCGGUCCGUCCGGUGGAUGCAACGGACGCUGCUGAACUUUGUGCAGAGGCAGCGGGUGUAUUUCUUGUUGCUGCUGGUCCAACCUUUGCGGAUGUAGGUGUAGAGGUACUUUGCUUGUUGGUGGAAGUAGUCGAAACAGCCGGACGUGUAGGGGGUGCAGCUGGGCAUGUGGAAGGGGCAGCGCGGCUGCGUGUUGCCCAUGAGGAAGUGCGACCUGCAGAAAAGUUAGGCCGCGCGUUCGCGUGUCGUCCCUGCACUUCCCUUUCAGCUUUGCAAGCAAUGUGAAACAAUCGAUUGAU
RNAcentral lists this long non-coding RNA (74669 nucleotides) under Brachypodium distachyon (stiff brome). RNAcentral describes it as "long non-coding RNA (BDIS_LNC000732)". The record is from RNAcentral. Lineage: Eukaryota; Viridiplantae; Streptophyta; Magnoliopsida; Poales; Poaceae.